Molecule: long non-coding RNA, 56311 nt
Filed under: Citrus x clementina
Lineage: Eukaryota; Viridiplantae; Streptophyta; Magnoliopsida; Sapindales; Rutaceae
Description: Citrus clementina (C. clementina) long non-coding RNA (CCLE_LNC004154)
Rfam family: Plant small nucleolar RNA R71 (bases 6115-6221)
Source: RNAcentral
GUCUUUGGCUCGUCUCCUUCCGUGAUACGCACCUGGUAGUAGUAGCAGCCCGGCCGUAAAUCCAACUUCGAGAAGUAAAAGAAAAUCAAGACAGAUGCCCAGAGAAACUGUUAGACUUCUUUAUUGCGUUGCGAAGAGAGAUCUACCGUUUAUCCACCAAUCUGCCCUGCUCUUUAUGAGCUGAGUUAUUCCAUAUGAAAAAAAGGAAUCCAAUCGUCUACCUAAGUCACUUCUAGAUUCUUCUUUGAUUCGCGAGAACUCGCUCAGCCUAACCAAAGCGUCACAACAACAUCCAAAGGUUGACAAAGUCAAUGCUACUAAGGACCGGGGUGAGCGGAAUUUAGUAAAGGCUCCUCAUUUCACUUCAUCCACUGAUCAAUGUCCUCGCAGAUGGACUGAGCAUCAAACGCUUGGGGGAGGAGACUGAACAAGAAGCAAAAAUUCUAUUAAUUAGAUUCCACUAUCAAGAGAAGGAAUACCCGACAAAGUCCCAUAUCCUCGUCACUAGCCUUGGAGAGGAAUCAACUCAACCGAUCUCUCUCUGUCUUCAUCUCUCAAGGACCCUGACGGAACUACAUGAAAAGCUAAGCAAAGGCGAGUAACGUUUCCCUCCGCGGGGGCCGAUUCCUCCUCUCUCCUUUCCUUAAUAAUAAGGUAAGUUUUCAAGCCGCUUUACUUGCUUGAUAUUCUACUAGUAAAGCGCUAGAGCCCCCCUUGUAUAUGAUCUCUUCACAAAAAGUCACACCAAAGCCAUUAAAAUUGAAAAUGGCCAAAGUUUUUUUCAUGCAUUCAUAUUGUAAGCUUUGCCUAUAAAUAGAGAAGUAGAAUGCAUUUGUAAAGCCUCCUAAUUUGUGAGAAGUAGAGAGCAAUUGCAAGUGAGCUCUUUGAGAGAAUUUGAGAGAGCUUCCACUUCAGUGUUCUAGUGAGGUUUUUUGAAUUUUUGAAUUUUUUAAAUUUUUUUGGUUUUUUUUAAUAAACAAAGCACACACUAUUCCCACCCUCAAACUUAUUCGGAACAUUGUCCUCAAUGUUUCACAAACAAAAGAUAUGCAUGCAAAAAGAUGAGAAAAUAAAUAAAUAAUAAAAGAAAAAGUUAGAGAGAACACACCUAGAUGGGCUGGAAAAGCUUAAAAGAAAAUGAUAAAUAAAAAGAAAACGUUAGAAAAGAAAAAUACUAGAAAAGAAAAACAAACAAAGAAAAGAAAACAUACUAUUUAAAUAAAACAAGAAUGUAAAAAUGAAAUUAACUAAUCCUGAUAAACAAGAUCAUCUAAAAGUAUCUCCUCGACUUCUGGUGUUCUUAACUCUAAAAAUGGUUUUAAUCUUUGACCAUUGACCUUAAAUAAAUCACCAUUUUGAGGAUUUUCAAUCUCAAUUGCUCCAUAAGGAAAGACAGUACGAACUAUAAAAGGACCAGACCAUCGAGAACGUAACUUACCUGGAAAGAGAUGUAAUCGGGAAUUGUAUAAAAGUACUUUCUGGCCUGGUGUAAAGGAUUUUCUCAAAAUGUGCUUGUUAUGAAAUACUUUCAUUUGUUGCUUGUAAAUCUUGGCAUUCUUAUAUGCAUCAUUCUUGAUCUCUUCAAGUUCUGUUAGUUGUAAUAUUCUGUUGGAACCAGCCUGCUGCAUAUCAAAAUUGAAUUUCUUAAUAGCCCAAUAUGCACGAUGCUCUAACUCUAUUGGCAGAAGACACACUUUUCCAUACACAAGUUUGUAAGGCGACAUCCUAAUUGGUGUUUUGAAAGCAGUCCUAUAUGCCCAUAAUGCAUCAUCAAGUCUCAAAGACCAAUCCUUUCUAUCUAACCUAACUCUUUUUUUACAGAAUUUGCUUGAUUUCUCUAUUAGAAAUCUCUACUUGGCCACUGGUUUGAGGAUGGUAUGGGGUAGCAACCUUAUGUAUAAUGGAAUAUUUGUUCAAAAGAGUUUUGAAAGGUUUAUUGCAAAAAUGGGUACCGCCAUCACUAAUGAUUGCUCUAGGGAAACCAAAAUGAGAUAGAAUAUUACUUUUCAAGAAUUUCACUACAACUCUAUGAUCAUUGGUUUUGCAUGGAAUAACUUUAACCCACUUCGACACAUAGUCCAGUGCAACCAAUAUAUACUGAUAACCAAAAGAUUGAGGAAAAGGUCCCAUGAAAUCAAUAACCCAUACAUCGAAGAUCUCAACCACCAGAAUAUGAUUGAGUGGCAUCAUAUUCCUCUUUGAAAUGCUACCCAUGCGUUAGCACCUAUCACACAAAGAACAGAAAACAUAAGCGUCAUGAAAAAGAGUAGGCCAAUAAAAACCACACUGUAAAAUUUUUGUUGCUGUCUUUUUGGCACUAAAAUGACCUCCACAAGCUUGUUUGUGGCAAAAAGAGAUGACACUUUGAAUUUCAUUUUCUAGAACACAUCUCCUAAUAAUCUAAUCAGCACAAUAUUUGAAUAAAUAUGGAUCAUCCCAAAAGAAAUUCUUCACUUCGGAUAAGAACUUUGUUCUAUCUUGCUUAGUCCUGUGUGCUGGGAUUUGACUUGUGGCAAAGUAAUUAACUAUAUCAGCAAACCAUGGUACAACAUUCACACUCAUAAGUUGCUCAUCCGGAAAAGACUCAUUCAAAGGUAAAGAUUCUAGAAUAAAUUUAAGAUCAAGGCGAGACAAGUGAUCCGCCACAACAUUUUCAGAACCUUUUUUAUCUUUAAACUCAAUGUCAAAUUCCUGUAAAAGCAAUACCCAACGAAUCAAUCUUGCUUUAGCAUCUUUCUUAGUAAGCAAAUAUUUUUAAAGCAGCAUGAUUAGUAAAAAUAAUCACUUUACAACAUAUAAGAUAAGAUCUGAAUUUAUCAAGUGCAAAUACCAUAGCUAGCAUUUCUUUUUUUGUAGUUGAAUAGUUCAACUGUGCAUCAUUGAGUGUCAUACUAGCAUAAUAAAUCACAUAAGGCACACGAUCUAAUCUUUGUCCUAAAACUACUCCUACAACAUAAUUAGAUGCAUUACACAUAAUUUCAAAAGGCAAAUCCCAAUUAGGUGGCUGAAUGAUAGGUGAAGAAGUCAACAAUUCCUUAAGCUUUGCAAAAGCAUCAAGACAAGAUUCAUCAAAGAUAAAAGGUGCAUCCUUAACAAGUAAAUUGCAUAGGGGUCUAGAAAUUUUAUUAAAAUCUUUAAUGAAUCUUCUAUAAAAACCAGCAUGUCCAAGGAAAAAUCUUACUUUUUUUAUGGAUUUGGGAUGUGGAAGAUUAGAAAUUAAAUCCACCUUAGCUUUGUCGACUUCUAUACCUCUGCUGGAAAUUAUAUGACGAAGGCCAAUACCUUGUUUUAUCAUGAAGUUACACUUUUCCCAAUUUAGAACUAAGUUCUUUUCUUUACAUCUCUGCAAAACUAAUGUUAGAUGCUGCAAACAUUCAUCAAAAGAAUCUCCAUAAACAGAAAAAUCAUCCAUGAAUACUUCAAGAAAUCUCUCAGCCAUAUCAGAAAAAAUAUAAGCAUGCAUCUUUGAAAGGUAGCAGGUGCAUUGCAUAAACCAAAUAGCAUUUUCCUAUAUGCAAAAGUUCCAAAGGGACAAGUAAAAAUAGGUUUCUCUUGGUCCUCUAGAGCUAUAGGGAUGUGAUUAUAACCUAAAUAUCAGUCUAGAAAAUAAUAGAAAUCAUGACUUGUAAGUCUAUCAAGCAUUUGAUCAAUGAAUGAAAGAGGAAAAUGAUCUUUUCUUGUGACUGAAUUUAAUUUUCUAUAAUCAAUACAAACACGCCAACCUGUAGUUACUCUAGUAGGAAUUAAUUCAUUAUUAGCAUUAGCAACUGCCGUAACACCAGAUUUCUUAGGAACGACUAGCACAGGGCUAACCCAAGAGCUAUCUGAAAUAGGAUAAAUAAUUCCUGCAUCUAAUAAUUUAAUUACUUCAGCUCUUACCACUUGUUUCAUGUUAGGAUUUAGCCUACGUUGCAUCUCCCUAAUAGGUUUAGCAUUUUCUUCAAGAUGAAUACGAUGCAUGCAAUCUACUGGAUUAAUACCUUUAAUAUCAGCGAUGGUCCAACCUAUUGCCUCCUUAUGCUCUUUUAAAAUACCCAACAACUUACAUUUUAGCUCAAGAUCGAGGGAGGAAGAAAUAAUAACAAGUAGAGUGUCAGAUUCUCCCAAGAAUGCAUAUUCUAGAGUGUCGGGUAGUGCUUUGAGUUCCAAUUUUGGUGGUGUCUCUGCAGAUGAGCUAAUCUUCUUCUCAAAAUGAGUCAGUGGUUCUGCCUUUGUCUUCCAUUUAGUUGUGUCCAUAAUUAGAGGUGCAUCAAGUAAGGCGUUGACUUCUGCAAUUACACUGUCAUUAUUAAAAGAUACAUCAGAAUGAGUUAGACAUGCCUCUAAUGGAUCAUCAGUAUAGUUAGAAAUGAAUGAAUCUUCUACUAAUUCCUCUAUCAUAUUUGCUUCGAUAAAUUCAUCUUCUUCAUGUGGCUGCUUGGUAACAUUAAAAGUAUUUAAUUCCAUGGUCAUAUUACCAAAAGAUAGCUGCAUGUUUCCAUUCCUGCAAUUAAUAAGAGCAUCAGCUGUAGCUAAGAAAGGACGACCUAGAAUAACUGGGGUGUGUUUCUUAGGAUCCUGUACAUGCUGAGUAUCAAUAACAAUAAAAUCAACAUGAUAAUAAAAAUUAUCAAUCUGUAUCAACACAUCCUCUAUAAUACCACAAGGUAUUUUCAUUGACCUAUCAGCAAGUUGCAAAAUAAUAGAAGUUGAUUUUAACUCACUUAGUCUAAGCUGCAUGUAAACAUAAUAAGGCAAGAGAUUAACACUAGCACCCAAGUCCAAUAAUGUUUUAUCAAACAAUUAGUUCCCUAUAACACAUGAGAUAGUAAGGGAACUUGGAUCCUUAAAUUUUGGUGGCAUUUUACAUUGAAGUAAAUUGCUAGUUAGUUCAGUUAAAAAUGCUUUUUUGGUGACAUGCAAAUUUCUCUUUUUAGUGCAUAAAUCUUUCAAAAACUUGGCAUAGGAAGGAACUUGCUUAAUAGCAUCGAGUAAAGGGAUGUUUAGGAAGGAACUUGCUUAAUAGCAUCGAGUAAAGGGAUGUUUAUACUUACCUGCUUGAAGAUUUCCAUAAUCUCACCUGUUGAAGUCCUUUUCUUUACCUUUGUUAACCUUUGAGAAAAAUGAGCCUUGGGAAUGUAAGCUUGUGGGCCACUCCCUUCUAGAUCAUUUGGUGAUGAGUCUUGUGAUGGAACUGGAUCUGAAGAAGUAAGCUCAGAUGUCUUCCUUAUUUGAACCUCCACUUUGUUAUCAAACAAUUUUCCUCUUCUCAAGGUCAUAAUAGAUUUUGCUUCUUCAUGCUGAUGGCUUAAACUCGAUCCAACUUCAUGCACUCUUUUAGGAUUAGGAACUGGUUGACUUAGGAAUUUUCCUUUUUCUCUCUCAGCCACAAUAGUUGCUAAUUGACCCAAUUGAUGUUCAAGCUUUAGAAUAGCUUGAGUGUUUGACUGAAAAGCUUGUUGGGUUGACUGAAUGAAACUUUAAAGUGUAUCUUCUAAAGAAGGUUUUCUUUUUUGGGGUGCAAUAAAUCGAAACAUAAGCUGUUGGGUAGGAGGAUAUACUUGGUUAGGAGGGAUAAAUUGUUGAUUGGGCAAGCUAAAUUGUUGUCCUCCUUGGUUUGACAAAGGUUGAUUUUGUUUCCAAGAAAAAUUAGGAUGAUUCCUCCAAUUAGGAUUAUAUGUGGGUGAAUAUGGAUUAUUAGAGGUUUUCUCAUAUUAUUGUAAGGCAUGUACCUGCUCAGAAUAAGCCUCUUGAUAGGCUAGUAAUGAUGGACAAUUCUGUGCAGUAUGAGACAAGUUAGAACAAAGAGCACAAACCUCAUUAGCUACACUAGGAUGAUGAUUCAUUGAUUGGUUCAGAGGUAAGGCAUCUACUUUCCUAGAAAGAGUAGAUAGAGUGGCUUUCACAUCAAAAUCAUCUUCAACUUCAUAUAGACCCUUUCUAGAAACUUGAGGCGAUUUCUCUAUUUGAUGUGAAAAAUUCCACUGUUGAGAAUUCUCAGAAAGUGAAUUAAAGAAAUCCCAUGCAGCCCUUUCAUGUAGGUUAAAAAAUCUCCCACCAUUCAUAGACUCUACCAUAUGAUGAUUUGACAUGGUUAAACCGUUAUAAAAGCAUUGUAUAAGUCUCCAUUUCUCAAAACCAUGGUGGGGACACUUGAGGAGUAAAUCAUUAAAUCUUUCCCAACACUCAUAAAAUUGCUCACCCUCUCUUUGAUAAAUAUCAUUUAUCUCUCUCCUAAGGGCAUUUUUUUUAGACAUAGGAUAAAACUUGGUGAGGAACUUGUUGCUUAAUUCAUCCCACGUAGUAAUAGACCCAGCAGGAAGUGAAUUCAACCAAGCUUUCGCUUUGUCUUUUAAUGAGAAAGGGAACAUACGAAGUCUAAUUGACUCAUCAUUAAAAUUUUGAAAACGGAAUGUAGAGCAUAUGUCAAGAAAUUCCUUAAUGUACAAAUAUGGAUCCUCUCUCUCUAACCCAUGGAAAGAUGGUAAAAGUUGAAUGACAGAGGGCUUAAGUUCAAAGUGUGUUGCUGUAGUUUGUGGCAACACAAUACAAGAUGGUUGGUUGGCUGCAAGUGGUGAAAAAUAUUCUCUAAAGGUUUUCUCUGCUUGCACUGAUGGAAGUAUUGGCAAUAGUCUAUUAGGGUCAUCUAUCACUUCUGAAGAACUAUCUCGACUACUAUCAAUUUUUAACUCUUUUUUUUACCAAACGAUAUGUUAAAUCGCGUUCCCAAAUACUCAUAAACUAACUAGAUAAGGAAAGAAAAAAUAAAAUACAAUAAAAUAAAAUAAACCAACAAUAAUGAAAAUAAACGAAAUUUAAAAAUAAAAGAAAUCAAACAACCAAACAAUGAAUUUAAAGACAAAUAAAAAUAAAAAUAAAAAUUAAUAAAAAAUUAAAUUAAUUAAAUAAAAGACAACCUAAAUUAUAACUAGUGGAAGAAUCAAAUCAACCUAAAUUAAACUGACUUUCUGGCACAAUCCCCAGCAACAGUGCCAAAAACUUGUUGUGAAAAAUUUUAAUAUACUCGCAAGCGCACGAAUCUAGAAAUAAAAUAGUGGUAACGAGGUCGAACCCACAUGGAUUGUUAUAAAUUAAAAAGUCUAAUUUAAAUCUAAAAUUAAUAUUAAUUCUAACCUAAUUGAGCAAAUUGAAUUUUUAAGAGAAAUUAAACUAAUUAAACUAAGAAAACAAUUAAAGCAAAUGAGAAAUCAAUAAGACAAAAAUUACCAAGGUUUCAGAAUCCACCACUAUUCAAUUAAUAAUUAUCUAAUUAUUAAUUAAUCCCAAAUUUUAGAGUGACAACUCGAAAUCAAUCUAUGUCAUCUCAUAAAUAUAACAAUUAAGCCCAAUUAAAAUUAAUCUUGUGUAGGUUCUUUUUCUUCUUAAUAGUAUGAUAUCUGGAGAUGGCCAAUGGGCCGGGCGGCACGUGGCACGGCACGGGCACGACACGUGUCCGUACGACAUGGCAUGACACGAGCACGUUUCGGUGGGGCACGAGGCACGACACAGUACGCAUGUGGGCCGUGCCGGGCCUAGAAUUUUAGGCACACGGGCCUUAAAGCACAGCACGAUUAGAGAUGAGCCAAAGCACGACACGCGAAAAAGCAUAUAAUAAGCACGGUUCAUUAGUGGGCUAGCACGUGGCCUGUGGGCCAUCAAUAGCACGUGGGCCAAAAUAUAUCUAAGUAAAUUUUUUUAACAAAAAGUAAAUAUAAAAUGUUAUGAAAUUAAAGUAAAAUAUCUUGAAAUUAAAUGUUUUAAUAUAUUUUUUAGCAUAGACUUUUAAAAAUUAAUUUAAAUCAUUAAAUCUUAGUUUAAAUAAAUAUUCUAAUUUUUUAUGUUUAUAAUUUAUUAAAUGAAUAAGUAAAUAUCAUGAUUUUAAUAAAUAAAAUUAUAAAUAUCAUAAUUUUAUUUAUGAUAUUUAUUAAAUGAAUAAUGUUAUUUAUGAUAUUUAAUUUUAUUUAUGAUAUUUAUUUAAUUAUUUAUUUAUGUUUAUAAUUUAUUAAAUGAAUAAGUAAAUAAGUAAAUAUCAUGAUUUUAAUAAAUAAAAUUAUAAAUGUCAUAAAUUUAUAAAUGAUAAAUAAAAAUUAAAAAUUUUAACAACAUUAAUAAUAAAAUAUUUUUCAUAUGAAAUAUUUUUCAUAUUAAUAUUAAAUCAUAACUUAGUUAAUAUUUAAUAGAGAUAUGUUUCAUUUGUGAAUGAAAUAUUUUUCAUAUUUAUACACAAGAAAAAUUUAUGAACGAAAUAUUUUUAUGAUAAAUUAAAAAAUACAUUUUCAUUAAAUGAAGUUCAAGUACAAUUAUAAUAUUAGUAAUUCAAACAAAAUUAGGUGUAAUUUGCAUCACUACAGUUAACAGUACAUCCCAGCUAGGUUGGCACCUACUGAACCAUCUAUCAUUUGCAAAUUUACAACCUUCUCACUAAUAAAAUUUGUUUCAAAAAGUUACAAGAAAAAAAAGUCUCUAGUCUUUGGAAGUGGCUUCAAUGUUCAGUACUCUGCAUAAUCUGGAUUCACUUCAUCUUGAUCAACAUCCAAACUCUCAAUUUGUUUAAUUAAAGCAUUUUGCCAAUCUUGUUGCACUCGACGUUCAGCAUCUUCUCAAUCUUUCAAACAUAACAAAUAGUCUAAUGUCUCUGAUGACAAUCGUGACCGACGUUCAUCUAGAAUUCUUCCACCUGUACUAAAAGCUGAUUCUGAUGCUACAGUUGAAGCUGGAGGGGUUAGUAGAUCACGGGCCAUAAUGGAUAAUAUAGGGAAAAAAGAUGUCUUACCCAUCCAAAAUUCUAAAAUAUCAAAAUUUUGCAAUUGUGAAGGAGUUGCUAAAUCUUCAAGAUUGACAGAACAAUAUCUUUGCAAUUCAUUACGAUUAGUAUCAAUACUAGAGGCAACACCCUUACCUUUGAGUAACAAGAGGUGAGCUGGAUUUUUAUAAAAAGUCGAUGCUUGUUGAACAUUAGAAUAUGUAUUGCUUGAUUCGAAUUUAUUUCGAUAAAAAUUAAAAAGUUCAUGAAUAGAGGACAUAAUUCUAUCAAGCUCGGUUUGUAAAUUUUCACUAAUACUCUCAACUAAAGGUUUUGCACCAACUUCCUUGAUUGUAGGAUCCAACACUGUUGCAAAAAUAAAUAGGUGGGGAAUAUCUUUCCAAUAUUUUUGGAAUUUUUCCUCCAUGGCAUCACAAAUAUUUUUAAACAUAAUAUUCUCUCUAAAAGUCUUAAAAGUAUAACUCAUAUUAUACAAGUGCAUUAACACUCUACAUGAAGUAGGCUCAUAAACAGUAGAACAUGCAAGAGUAGCAUCAUAAGAUACCUUUAAAAAAUCCAUAAAUUUAAAUGCAACAUUCCAAUCAUAAUCAGUGAUAUGAUAAUCUUCAUAAUUCAUUCUCUCAUUGUAAAAACUAGAAAUUGCUUCAGAAUAGUUUUGGCAAGAAAGCAACAUCAAAUACGUAGAAUUCCAAUGAACUUUCAUGUCAAUGUUGAAUUUUAUCCUUUUCAAUCCAAAAAUUUUCAACGUAGACAAAAAUUGUUGACGUCUUGAAGGUGCUCUAAUAAAUAAAAUGGCUGCUCUAAUUUUUUCUAAAUAAUGAUUUAUAUGAGUCAUACCAGCUUGAACAAUUAAAUUAAUAAUAUGACACACAUCUCACAUGAAAAAAUUUUGAACCACGUGCAGGCGUGAGAGUAGAAAUAUUCCGCAAAAACAUAUCAAUUGCAACUAUAUUGGCAGAUGCAUUAUCAAAUGAUAUGCUAAACAAUUUAUCAGUAAUUUCAUAUUCUCUUAAAACAGACAUUAUAGCUGCAUAAAUUACUGAACCAGUGUGAGGAUAUUCUAAUUCAUGAAAUGCAAGCAAUUUUUUUUUCCAACCUCCAUUUACCAUUAAUCUCAUGUAUAGAGUACGAAGUCACACAAAAUAACCAACCAUAUUAAUACCAGUCCAACAAUCAGAAGAAAUUGAAAUAACACCAUUAAAAUUGAUAAAAGUAUUAAUUAAAAGUUUGUUCAUGUCAUAAAAAAUUUUAGUUAAAUCACGUUUUAAUGUAUUUCUAGGCACUUUCUUAAGUUGAGGCUGAACAUACCUUUGCAGAAAAUUUAUUAGACGUUCAUCUUCUGAAAAUGUUAAAGGUUGUUCUGCUGCAGCAAUAUACCGAGCCAAUCCUUCUCGCAUGUUCUGUUGUGAAUAUCUGAAUGAUGUUAUACCGGAAGGUCCAGAACCAUAUUGUGAGAGUUGGGUUUGUGUUGGGUCUUGUGGCGCGUGUUUUGUCUGACAAGUUUCCAUAUGUCAUCUAAGAGGUCCAGUUCCACCAUUGCCUUUGGCACUUAAAGCGGAUUGACAAUAUUUGCACACUGCUUGAUCCACCAUUUCACCUUUUUUGUUUUGACGUUUUUCCAAAGUAAAACAUGACCAAACAAUCGAUGUUCUUUGUCGUUUGGAGGUAGUAGUAGGAUUGGCAGUCGAAGAAGUAGAACCACUUUGACUUGCUUGAGAAGUAGGAGGUGAUCGUUCCGGUGGGACAAUAAAUAUAUUACUUGGAUCAAAUUCUGGUGCAACAAUUUCUUCAUUUGCAACUUCCUCCCCCUCUUCAACAAAAUUAAAAUUCUCAUCUAACUCAAAAUGAGAGUGAGACAUUUUAUAUAAUUAGCGUUUUGGUAAAUAAAGGCGGUUGGAAUGUAUUUGUGCGGGUGAAAAAAAAGAAAAAAAUUAUUGAGCAAGAGAAUGGAGAUUCGUGUGUUAAAUGGUGUUGAAUGAUGUUUUGCUUUUGUUUGAGAUUUCAGUAACAAAGGGAAAUUGUUGGAAUUGUAGCAAAGUUUCGAGAAGAUUGGGCAAGCAGAGACUAGAGAUGACUGAUGAGACAAGAGAGAUAACGAAGAGAUAGAGAUUGAGAAGUGAGAUAAGUUCGAAAAUAAUUUAAUCGUUUAAAUAGAAUAAAAAAGUAAAAAUAUUAACAGUCAAAAAGGGGCAAACACGCAAAGCUUCCUGCAAGGUUGCAACUGCAAAGCUUCCUACAACUCUGCAAGGUUGCAGCAAAUUAAACUGUUGCAUUUAAUAAUUCAUUUGUCCGUUGGAAUUGUAAGGUGAGUAAUUGAUUUAAUUUAAAUUUUUUUUUGUUAUUAAAAAUCAGAAAUAGUUAAUUGUUGAGGGACCUGUCUAUGGUACCGAUUCUGUAACAAACAUCUCCCGUCAUCCCACCAUCCGAUUGUCUAUUGUUUAGUUUCUCACUCCACAUCCAACCACAUCCAACGGCUGAUGCUGCAGUUUGUGGCUCACAGAUUCUGUAAGCUAGUCAAGUCCAAUUGUUGAGUGCCCAUGUUGUGAAAUUGACUAGUCACCUAGUCAUAUCAACUUUAUUGUUUUUUUUAAAGACAUAUCAACUUUAUUGUUAAUUUAAUUAAUUCAGAAUUUUUUUUUGUCCUUUGGGUGAGUAAUGAAAUUAAUUUAGAAUUUUUUUGUCAUUAAAAAUCAGAAAACAUUAAUUACUAAUCGGAGCCCAACUGCCCAUGCUGUACAAUUGAGUAGUCAUAUCAAUUUUAUUGUUAAUUCAAAAAAACUUUUCCGUUGGGUGAGUAAUAAAAUUAAUUUAGAAUUUUUUCGUUAUUUAAUAAUUAAAAAAAUUUAAUUUCUAAGUGCAACAUUGUUAUUUAUUUUUUAAAAUAAUUUUAGUAAUUAAUUUUUUUUUCAAAACAACGUAUUAAAUUAAAAAAAAAUUAUGGUUCAUUGUUACAAGAGAAUCACGCAACUAUCACAAUGUUAAUAAAUUCUAUCACAAGUGUGUUGAUGAGAUAAUAUUAUAGUAGGAAUACGGGAGGAGCUUGCAUUCAUUAUGUAGAGUAUUUUAUUUUUUUGAAUUUAAAUUCUCAACUCAAAUUUUCAACACGGUAGUUGUCAUAUAGUGCACAUGCAGACGUGCAGAUUGCAGUGCAGCUGUGCAGUCAAUUCAAGUUUCAGGAUUUGAAAAUUGUGAAAGUUGCAACUUGCAAGCGUGUUGUAAAAUUGAGUAGUUAUGUCAAUUUUAUUAUUGCGUGACUGUAAAAUUUUAAAAUUAUGUGCAGUGUAAUCAAUUAAAAAUUUGAAAAAUUAUGAAAGUUAACCGACAAUGAUGUUUAAAUAAUAAAAAAUUGGGAUAAUUGUGCAUUUGUUUUAAUAUUUUCAUUUAUUUUUUAAAUAAUUUAAGAUCUUUUUCCUACAUGCCAACCACGCACUUGCCUCAUGGCUCCACAAAAAUUAAGAUCUCAAGAUUCAUUCAUUCACAAAUAUUUAUAUUUCACUAAAUAUUUUUUACUUACUCUUUUUACUCCCACCGACAAAGUAAAUAAAAUUAAUUUUUAUCUUUUUAUUACUAUCUAAUAUUAUAUAUACACGCCAUUAUGCUAUGAUGCUUCACAAUUCUUAUUCUUCUUCUUUUUCCUCUCAAACUUUCCAAUAUUUUAAAAGCCAAAAUCAUUAUGAAUCUGCAGCAACAUAAUAUGAAUGCAGAAGAACCUCAACACUCUCAAGAAUAAAAUGUUGAUGUAGUUGGACCUCAACAAAACGCUAGGCUAAAUCAGUCCAGAAGUCAUUCUUUAAAUGAGCUUUUUCAAAAUUUUGCUACAAUAAGGGAGGAAAUAAUAGAUAAUAGUUUGCAUCGUCCAUACAAACGGAUGAUCUUGAGGUGCAACUAUUGUCAUCGAGAAGUUAUUUAUUCAGACAGCCAUGGCACCUUGGGUUUACGUCGACACGUGUCAAAUUGUUUAGUUCGCCAUCUUAGCCAAGAUAGAAUUAACCUUGCUCAUUUCCCGUAUCCAUAGUUGUGAUUAAUAAAUGUUUUUUUCAUGCUUGUUAUUCGUCAAUUGGUCGUAGUUCGCAUUUCGUAGUUGUAACUUGUAAGUUGUGACCUAUGAUUUGUUAUAUUGAUAUUUCGUAGUUAUGACUUAUUGUAAUUAUUAUUCGAGGAUUGUAUUUUUAAUUUUAAUUAAUUAUUAUUAUUAUUAUCUAUGGAAUUAAAUUUAUGUAUUGUUGUGUUAUGAUUGAUUAUUGUGAAAUAAAAUAUAUAGUUGUGAAUUUGUGAUAAACUAAUAAUAAAAUGUUAAUUGCCUCUUAAUAAAAAUUAAUAUGAUUAUGAUUAUGAUUAUGAUUAUUAUUAUUAUUAUUAUGUUGGUGGGCUUAAAAAAACACGCCAAGUACGUGGGUUUUUUUAGGCACGUUAAAAAAAAAGUUGGUAGACUUUUUUUGGGCACGGCCCACGGCACGAUACGAGCCCGCUCGUGCCGUGGGCCGUACUGGGCUCAACUGAAAAAAAUAUGGGCACAGCCUUGCCGGCCCACGAGCCCUUGUGGGCCGACAGUUGCCGGCACGGCCCAUUGAACAUAUAUAGGGAAUUAAUUAAAUGAAAAAAAUAAUUAUUUCAUUGAAUAGGGUUUCAUCCUUAACCUCAACAUAAGAAAAUUAGCUGGAUAUACUUGAAUUAGGAGCAACAAAAGAAAUAAAAUCAGCCAUGGGAAGCCGAACUGCUGCAGCCGGUUUUCUCCCGAAUCGCGUCUGCUUUUUUUUUCCUUCCUAUGGCGACUACUUUCAGUGUUCUCUUCUUUUUUCCUGGCGGCUACCCCCUAAUUCGUUUUAUACUAUAACGCCACCACAAAAUCCUCAAAUCAAAAUGAUUUUAAAACAAGCCAAGCACAACCAACUUUAAGCCCAUGCAUGUGAAACCCACUUGAAAUCAAUGGUCAAUGCUUUUCCAACUAUUCACGUGAGAUGCACACUUAGAAACUCAAUUAUUCUCCUUUAAGCAUCCUUUUUCCUCUUUUCUUUUAUUCUGCACAAGCGGCAAUUAUUUCCAUAAACUCUAAUUUGUUUCCUUUUUAAGCUCCCUUUCAUCAAUGGCUUCCACAAAUUGAUUUGAUCUUUAUUGCUGUCCAAUUAUUAUUCCUUAUGCACUUUUCAUCCAUAAUCUCCAAUUAAUUCCCUAGUCAAUAAAAAAAUUCAAUUAAUUAAAAAUAACAAAUAAAAAUAACUAGCAAUUAUGUAAUUAAGGAUAAAAUAUGUAUAUAUUAUAUGCUCAUCAUUCCAUUUGGGUGUAUUGGGGUUGUGGGUUUUGUGAGUUUUUCCUACUUUUGUAAAUUCUUAUUAUUAGUAAAAUUAUCUUUCAGUCUUUGCCCGUGGACGUAGGCAUUACGCCGAACCACGUAAAUUAUUGUGUUCUAUUUUCUUUGCAUUUGUUUGUCACAUUUAUAUUUCUCCAAAAGUUACAGUCAUCGUAAUAUUGGUAAUUGUUCAACCUCGCAAUUCUGCAACACCAUCCUUACACUAUUAACGAAGAGAGAGAGAGAGAGAGAGAGUAAAGCAUCCCAAAAUGUAGAGAGCUUAAGAUUUAACUCUUUGAUAGAGAGUGUAGAGAAACGGAGUACUAACAAGUGAGUUCUUAAAAAGUUUGGGGAGUGUUCUCUUGAGUGUUCAGUUGAGAUCUAUAUUAUUUGUAGGGAUGCGAGAGAUUGUUUCCUUCGGUAGAUUGUUUCCUUCAAGAGCGUUGAGAGUACUAAAUGUAUUUAAGUAUUUGGAAAAUAAGGUUUAAUUACUCAAAUUUAUACUCUAUUAAUUGUUAAUAAAAUAAUUAUUCUCUCUUUGCCUCCUUGGAUGUUGGUAUCGUUGCCAAAUCAGGUUAAAGACAAGUGUCUUUAUCUUUUUUAAAUUAUCUAGUGCCUAUUGAUUGCACAUCUGCGCAUAAGUGGCAUUGAACUGCAACAAAUGACACUUUUGCACACAACACCACAUUGGAUACGUCACCGAGCAAGUUACCAGCAACUCGCAUCUUAUGAACCUAAUUUACAUGUGAAUAUAAAUGAGCGUGGCAUUGGCAUGUUACUAAAGAUAUUGUACAUAAAUCUACUAUUCUUAAUACCAACUAAAUAUUGGCCGUGUAUCAUUGUGGACAAAACCUUUAGGCAACAGCGAAGUCAGAUAACAGCGAAGUUAGAUAUUCAAUAUAGUUGGAGUUAUGUUCAAACAACAAUAUGAUUUAAAAAAUUUUAGUAAGUACUGAAAUUCUAAAUUGACUUCACUGAAAUAAUAUAAUUCAAUAAAUUCAUAAUCGUACUCAAUUAGCCAUAUACUUAUGGUAGCUCGAAGUUGUACAUGCUCUAAAACAUAGCGGCUACCUAAAACAAGUGUAUAAAAUUUUCGUUAUGAAAGAGACUCUAGGGUGCUGAUUUUUAUCAUCAACAAAUCCAAAAGAAAAUGGCUAUUUGCCCUUUUUGGCCAAACAAUAGAGAAAAUUUUGUAAACAGUCAAAUAAUAUUCUGUCAUAUGAGAGAGUAGAGGGUUAUAUUAAAUUAAAAAAUCAAUGGGACUCACUAAUGCUCCUAUCUUUGAACUCACUAUUCUACCACAGAACACCAAUAAAUUGUCUCAAUUAAAAUUUUCUCCACACAAUGACAGAGCAGAGAACCCCACUAAAUUAAAAUAGUUAGUAGGACCCACUAAUGGUGCCACUUUUGAACCACUGCUUUACUACAUGGCAAAACACUAGUGGUCUGUCUUACCUAAUUUUUUCUCCACAUUUAUACACUAAUAGGAAAAAUGACUCACUAAUGUUAAAAAAAAUGAUUUGGAUCUAGCGCAAAACUGAGCUAUUCUCACCUCUUCAUAAUUGUUUUUAUACACGUGCAUGUAUAGAAUAUAUGGUUAGGAUUUAAGUAAUUUUAUAUUGUUAUCCAAAAACUACCAAAUCCGCUAAAAAAACGAAGAAAAACUGUGAUUGAAAACAUAAAGAGAUAGAGGAAUUAUUACCUAAUAGGAUUCAUAUCUUCUCAUAUUCUGGUAUCCAAUGUUUUAAAAAUCUAUAUGUGACAAUCAUCAAAAUGUAUGGUGAGGAUUUAUUACAAGCCUCUUAAGAGAUGAACUAAUAAAAAACUCGCACUUCAUGAUUCCAUGGCUCCUAGUGUUUUUUUUCCCUCUCCAUCAAUAACUCAUCUUCUCCUCAACGAUUAAUCACUGCACACAAAAAAAGGAAAGAAAAAAUGAAGAAGGAAAGAGCAGGCAGCCAGUGCAAGAAGAAAAAUUAAAGAAGAAGAGCCUACGUUUGAGCGUGUACUUUAACAAGUACAAUUAUCCAAAGAGUUUAUUUUAAUUAAACCUAUUAAGGAAUAAAAGUCUCCUCUAUAGCAAUUUUAUUUUCAGAUGGCAGAUCGAAGGUCCAACUUUAGGAUGAUACAAACACCCAAGAACUAAUUUUAGCUGAGAGUAGCAGAUUAGUCGUGCAUGAAGAGAAUUCUUAUGAUGUUGAAUCAAAUAUUGGCCAAGUAAUUAUUCACAUUCAAGAACCUAAUCAAACUACGACUUCCUACCUUCAUAACUUCGGCAUUAUUUUUCUUUUGUUUUUAGAAAUUGCAAAGACUUGAUUUUGAUAGAGAUCAUAGCUGAUCAAAAGUGUUGUGCUCUGUAGAGUGAACUAGAGAACGUAAGAUUUUUGAGAGUUAGGGAAGAAAAAUAAGAGUUUAAGAGUUGUUAAUAAAAUUCAAAUAAACAAAUCUUAGCCAUUCAUUUUGUUAAUAGCCACGUAUGAAGUAAAUCUUCAAAAAGUCAGAAAUUUCAUAUCAUCAGAGAAUUUGAAUCAGUUGGUUAUAUCUGUGAGCAAAAACGGAUGAUUAAAUCCCCUAAGAACAUUUCCUAGAACACUAUUUCCAAUGGCAGCAUAAGCCAUGCAGGUUAAUAAAGAAAUGUAAAAUAAUGUUGUUCCACCAAUGGCAUAUAAUGUCAUUUUCUUCAUCACUUCAUUUUGUGGUGGCUUUAAGGUAUCUUUCAAUUCACCAAGGAAGUAAUAGUAAUAUAUAAGUAUCAAUUGCUUAUUUAUUAAGAUGAUAUAUUGUCAUUUAUCUCCCUAACAUAUGGCCUUAAAGACAAAAUUGAAUGCCGAAUAUACAAUAGAGAUGAGAUUUAGGAUAUUUUGUUCACCAAUAGACUGUUAUCGUUGAAUGUUCUCUAAAUUAUGAGUGUGAUAUAAACUUUGAAGUGGAUAGGUAUCACUACCGUAGAUUAUGAUGGACGAUGCCAUGGCUUGGCUUCUAAACUCAUGCCAAGCCGUUGGCAACAACGGGGGUGUGGUUGUAAAUGAACAAGAAAGCAAGGCAAGAUUGGCACGCAGGCUGAGGCGUGACAGCUAACGCAUGCUAUGAGACAAGUGUGGGAAGCGCCAGACAUUACACGCAGCCCACGGACGCCACAUCUUACAAGUGUUCAGGCGCAAAGCAUGCACACAGUACACAAGCUGAGUUGGAUAGAAUGCGAGAUGGCACAAGGUAGUAACGCUAAGGCAUGUAUGGGCAGCGCAUAUGCUAGUAGGUAGUGGGCAUAAAAGUGUGCAAGGAAGCACGUAAAUGGGUAAUGUACAAUAGGGGUGGGCAUUCGGAUCGGGUUAACCAGAUCCAAAUCGAACUCGAAAUUUAUUUCGGAUUCGGUUCGGUUCUGGUUAACAUAUAAAAUCCGAACGGGUUGAAAAUUAUAACCUGAUCGGAUUUUAAAUUUUGUUCGGGUUGAACCCGAACCGAAUUUAAAAACUGAUCGGGUUGGACCUUAAAAAUUAAAUCUCUCUCUCACCAUUCACGCACGCCCAAUUCCAAUUUCAAGAUCCCUAAAGUAACUGCUUAAGCCUUCAAUAAUCCCCCUCUUCUCAUCUUCUUCCACAAUAGCAGCACAACCCUCCUCCUAGCGCAGCCCACAGAUGUUCAGCCGACGCCCAUGCUGCGGCUCACUCACCUCACGACUGACUCACUCUCACUCCACCGCCCGUUCGCUUUCGAUCAAGCUGUUGUCGCUUCUAUCUUUGCCAUCGCCUCCGACUGUUUCCAAUCCAUCUUUGCAACCAGUAGGUUACUUAUUAUUUUUUUAUUAUUGUUAUUAAUUUAUUAUUAUUAUAAACAAUCGCCGUAUGUUCCUGGUUCAUGCUCUCAAUUGGUUUGUCAUGAAGCAAAAUGUAUUAAAUAUUAUUGAUUGAUGCAUGUCUUUCAUAGCAUAAAGUGGCUUAGAUUGGAGCUUUUCUGAAAAAGUGAAAAUUUCAUUUAAUUAUUUAGUAUUCACGGAUAAGAAAUAGACUUCAUCUUUUUUCUAAUGCCACACGUCUAGAGAGCUUUGCCUGUGUUUUAGUUGGAUAAAAAUUGUUGCAAAUGUCACACGAGAGGAGGGAAGCAUAAAAGGUUUAACCCGAAUGAACCCGAAUUAUCAAACUGAACCAAUCCGAAUUGUGAACCCGAACCAAACCGAAAUAAUUUUGGUUCGGUUUGGUUUGGGUUAGCAUUUUCAACCCGAUUGGGUUCAAUUCUUCAACUCGAACGAGUUGUAACCCAAACCAAAACCCGAACAAUCCGAACCGAAAUCUGAUUUGCCCACCCCUAAUGUGCAACACAUUACAUGGGGGACAAACUACGCAAAUAUGAGAGGCAUGCAUUCGAAUUACAUGUACAAGCUAUGUUCAAGCAAUGGCGGUCGAAUGUUAGCCUUGGUGGUUGGAGUUCUCUGGAAAUAGGUCCUAGAAGUGGGUAGUUAUCGGUGCAACUAAUAGGACAUGACCUUAAAAUUCACACUAGACAUAGGUGUUCACCUUAUAGGGUGGAGAGACUAAAGGUUAUAAUGUCAUACCAUAAGUAUAUUAGCAACUGGUCAUUGUUAAUAGAUUUAAGGGUAUGAGACUUCCAAUAUGCGAUAGUUGAGGAUGCAGAUUUAUUCUGCCCAGUACUGCAGCACUUGCUGUAACAACUGGUGCUAACUUGAUAAACAACAGUCACCCCAUAAGGAGAGUUUGAUCAUUCAACUACUAUAAUCUCAAUUGAAACUUAGACACAUUUAACCUAGUUUAUUUCAUUACGGUAUUGUUUUAUUUAAUUCUCUCACAAUCAUUAAUUACGAUAUAAAUUACUUCACAAUUGUUUGCUUCGGUCUUAAGUUGUUUUGCACUAUUGCGAUUGCUUUAGCAUUUCGAGUAACAUCAAUCUCUGUGGAGACGAUCUUGAAUACUCAUCACUUUAUUACUUGUUGUGUAUACUUGCACAUUGGCAUUGGUAGUAAUUGCUUAUAAAAUUAACCAACAAGUUUUUGGCGCCGUUGCCGGGGAUUGAUUGUUUAUUUUUUAAGUGUGAAGUAAAUUUUGAUAGUGCCAAAUUUGAUUUGAUUCAUUCUAUUUAUUGGCAGAUCGGUACAUGCAUGCGCAAAGACAGAUCUGUGGCAUUCCAAUUCGAUCCUGAGAUUGAAAGGACUGUCAGGAGACUGCGAAGAGAACAAAGGAAUUCAAACACUGUUUCAAGCAUGAAUAAUUUACAGGAUGCGGGAAAUUUGAAUCCUCACGGGCCCUUACAACCAGUCAACAUUCAAGAAGAGCAGAAUGAACAUGCUAAUGGGAGACAGCCAGGCAAUAACAAUAUUAUCUACAUGGCUGAUGACAGAGACAGAGUUAUAAAAGAUUAUGCUGUGUUAACCCCUCAAGUUGUACACCUUGGUAUCAUCAGACCUGAAGUAGAAGCUGCAAAUUUUGAGUUGAAGCCAGUGAUGUUUCAAAUGUUACAAACAGUUGGUCAAUUCAAUGGAUUGCCAAAUGAAGAUCCUCAUCUCCAUCUUAAAUUGUUCUUGGAAGUAAGUGAUGCUUUCAAGAUUGCUGGAGCAACACAAGAUGCCUUAAGGCUGAGGCUUUUUCCUUAUUCCUUACGAGAUCGAGCAAGAGCAUGGUUAAAUUUGUUACCAUCUGAUUCCAUUACUACAUGGAAUGAAUUGGCUGAUAAAUUCCUAAUGAAAUAUUUCCCACCGACAAAAAAUGCAAAGUUGCAGAAUGAGAUUACUUCCUUCCAUCAACUUGAAGAUGACAGUUUGUACGAGGCUUGGGAAAGAUUCAAAGAAUUGCUCAGAAGGUGUCCUCAUCAUGGUAUUCCUUGUUGCAUUCAAUUGGAAACUUUUUACAAUUGGUUGAAUCCGAGUACGAGGUUAAUGGUGGAUAUUUCAGCAAAUGGAGCCCUGUUAUUCAAAUCUUACACUGAAGCUUAUGAAAUUCUGGAGAGAAUUGCCAAUAAUAAUUAUCAGUGGCCUUCAGCCAGGCAACCAGCAGCAAGAGGACCAGCAGGGGUACAUAACAUAGAUGCAAUUACAGCCUUAUCAACGCAAGUAACCUCAUUGACUAACAUGGUAAAGGCCAUGACAUCUGCUCCAGCAACAGUAAAGCAAGUUGCUGAAUUUUCUUGUGUAUACUGUGGUGAAGAACAUGACUUUGAUAAUUUUUCUAGAAAUCCAGCUUUAGUAAACUUUGUGGGUAAUUUCAAUCGACAACCUCAGAACAACUCAUAUUCAAAUACUUACAACCCUGGCUGGAAACAAUACCCAAAUUUCUCAUGGACCAGUCAGAAUCGAAAUGCGCUUGCAUUAAAUGGACAAAAUAGAAACCCACAACCACCUGGUUUUCAUCAGCAGAGUCAAGGGAAAAAACAUAUCAGUUAGGAUCCAAUCACUUCACUGAAAGCAAUGAUUAAGGAGUACAUUGCAAAGAAUGAAGCAAUUGUGCAGAGUCAAGUUGUAUCCUUGAGAAACCUGGAGAACCAAAUGGGGCAACUAGCCACAGCAAUGAGCAGCAGAACUCAAAGAAGCUUACCUAGCAAUACAGAAGACCCUAGAAGAGAGAGCAAAAAACACUGCAAGGUAAUUAAUUUGAGAUCUGGAAAGAAUGUUGAUACCCUAGUUGAUGUGACAAAAAAUGAGAUGAAAUUCAAUUCAGCACAAAAACCGCCUCAAAAUGGAAGCAUGUUACAACAAGCCCCCCACCAAGACACUGGUUAUAUGAGCCAAGCUAUAGCAACUGCAAAGGAAAUUUAACUAGAACAUGCUGAAAAAGAGGUUGCAACACCAGUAGCCACAACCUACACCAAACCGAACAAGCAGAGUUUGAUACCUCCUGAAGCUACUAAGCAGUUUAGACAUCCACCACCUUUCCCAUAAAGGUUCCAGAAGGAAAAACAAGAUAAGCAGUUCAGCAAAUUCCUGGAAGUGCAGAAGCAAUUACACAUAAAUAUACAUUUUGUGGAAGCUUUGGAGCAAAUACCAAAUUAUGUGAAAUUUCUAAAAGACAUCUUGGCAUGAAAAAGAAGGAUGGGAGAGUUUGAAACUGUUGCUUUAACACAGGAAAGCAGUCAUAUGCUUCAAAUUAAGAUUCCUACAAAAGUGAAAGAUCCAGGGAGUUUUACAAUACCCUGCUCUAUAGGAACUAGGUAUGCUGGCAGAGCACUUUGUAACCUGGGAGCUAGUAUUAAUUUGAUGCCAUUGUCUGUAUUUAAGCAGCUGGGAGUAGGGGAAUGCAGACCAACAACAGUCACUCUGCAAUUAGCUGACAGAUCUCAUGCAUACCCUGAAGGAAAAAUAGAUGAUGUACUAGUGAAGGUUGACAAAUUCAUCUUUCCAGUGGAUUUCAUUGUACUGGACUUUGAAGCUGAUAAAGAGGUACCCAUUAUACUUGGAAGACCUUUUCUAGCAACUGGAAAGACUCUGAUAAAUGUGUAGAAAGGAGAGCUCACCAUGAGAGUAAAUGAUCAACAAGUCACAUUUAAUGUACUAGAGGCUAUGAGGAACCCUGAUGAAGUAGAAGAUUGUAAUUUCUUAAGUGUAGUGGAUUUUGUUGGAGCAGACAAAAUGGACAGAUGCUGCAGUAAUGCACUCGACAAAGUCACUACCUUUGAGGAUGUAGAAGAGGAAGAUGUUGCAGCAAUUCAGACAAAUUGGAUGGACAAAAAGCAAUUUGAUAGGCACAAUAGGUUUAUUAAACACCUGAAUCUUUCAGACAGGGAAGUAAAAAUAACUUUACCAUCUAUUGAAUCACCUCCUAGUCUUGAAUUAAAAUUGUUACCUUCACAUUUGAAGUAUGCUUAUCUUGGUCAAAACAACACUCUCUGUAAUCAUUUCUUCUACUUUGGAUGCAGGUCAAGAACAGAGUCGAGUAGAUUUGUUUGGAAAAUACAGAAAAGCAAUUGGAUGGACCAUGGCAUAUAUAAAAGGGAUAAGCUCAUCAAUAUGCAUGCACAAAAUCCUGUUAGAAGAUUGCUCCAGCAAUUCAGUGGAGCACCAGAGAAGGUUGAACCCUAUUAUGAAAGAAGUAGUGAAGAAAGAAAUCAUUAAAUGGUUGGAUGCUGGAAUCAUAUACCCAAUAUCAGACAGUUCAUGGGUUAGCCCAGUUCAAUGUGUUCCAAAGAAAGGAGUGAUAACAGUAAUAGCUAAUGAGAAUGAUGAAUUUAUUCCUACAAGGACAGUGACUGGAUGGAGAGUAUGUAUGGAUUACAGGAAGCUCAACAAAGCCACAAGGAAAGACCAUUUCCCACUUCCAUCAUAGAUCAGAUGCUGGACAGACUUGCUGGAAAAUAAUACUAUUGUUUCUUAAAUGGGUAUUUAGGCUACAACCAGAUUGCUAUAGCUUUAAAAGAUCAAGAGAAUACUACAUUUACUUGUCCUUAUGGAACAUUUGCCUUCAGAAGAAUGCCCUUUGGGUUAUGCAAUGCUCCAACAACUUUUCAGAGAUGCAUGAUGUCUAUAUUUUCUGAUAUGGUAGAGCAGACUUUAGAAGUUUUCAUGGAUGACUUCUCAGUUUUUGGAAAAACAUACAAUGAUUGUUUACACAACUUGGAAGAAGUCUUUAAAAGAUGUGAGAUGACCAACUUAGUACUCAAUUGGGAAAAGUGUCAUUUCAUGGUGCAAGAAGGAAUAGUGUUGGGUCACAAGGUAUAAAAGAAUGGCAUUGAGGUAAACAAAGCCAAGAUAGAGGUAAUAGAUAAACUGCCACCUCCAACUUCAGUAAAAGGUAUUAGGAGUUUUUUGGGUCAUGCUGGAUUAUACAGAAGAUUUAUUAAGGUUUUUUCCAAAGUAGCUAAACCACUAUGCUCAUUGCUUGAACAUGACAAACCUUUUCACUUUGACAAAGAUUGCCUUCAAGCAUUUGGAGAAUUAAAGAAAGCUCUGAUCACUGCUCCAGUAGUUAUAUCUCUAGAUUGGACUUUACCAUUUGAACUGAUGUGUGAUGCUAGUGAUCAUUAUGUGGGAGCAAUAUUAGGGCAAAGAAAGGAUAAGGUUUUUCAUUCCAUAUACUAUGCAAGCAAAACUUUUACUCAAACUCAGAUCAAUUACACCACUAUAGAAAAAGAGUUGCUAGCAUUAGUAUUUACUUUUGACAAAUUCAGAGCUUACUUGGUGGGUACUAAAGUAACUGUUUACACAGACCAUGCAGCCAUCAAAUACUUAAUUUCAAAGAAGGAUGCCAAACCAAGAUUAAUCAUAUGGAUCUUAUUGCUUCAAGAAUUUGAUCUGGAAAUUAAAGAUAGAAAGGGGACUGAGAAUCAAGUGGCAAACCACUUAUCACAGCUGGAAGCAGACACUAGUACCUUGAUAAGGAGGGGCAUCACUGAAACAUUUCUUGAUGAACAGCUGUUGGCAAUACAGCAAGCACAGAUGCUGCAGCAGUCAGGACCCCCAUGGUAUGCAGAUUUUGCUAACUACCUAGUAAAUGGGAUGCUACUAACUGAGCUGAAGUUUCAGGAGAAAAAUAAAUUUCUUCAUGAUGUUAGAAGUUAUCAGUGGGAUGAUCCACAUUUAUAUAAGUUAUACUCAGAUAAAGUAAUACGAAGAUGUGCUUCCGAAGGAGAAAUACACCACAUACUAGAGUCAUGUCAUGCUGCAGCAUAUGAAGGACAUUUUGGUGGUCAUAGAACAACUGCUAAAGUUCUGCAAUCAGGUUACUACUGGCCUACUAUUUUUAAAGAUGCUUAUCAAUUUGUUAAAUGUUGUGACAGGUGCCAAAGGACAGGGAACAUAACUAAAAGACAUGAAAUGUCAUUGACUAACAUUCUAGAAGUGGAAGUUUUUGAUAUCUGGGGAAUAGAUUUUAUGGGACCUUUUCCACCAUCCUUUAGGAACUUAUAUAUCCUUGUUGAUGUGGAUUAUAUCUCCAAGUGAGUAGAAGCUUCAGCAUUACCUACCAAUGAUGUUAAAACAGUGGUGGCUUUUCUACAGAAAAAUAUUUUUUCCAGGUUUGGCACUCCUAGAGCAAUUAUUAGUGAUGAGGGUACACAUUUUUGCAACAAAGUCUUUGCUGCAACUAUGAUGAAAUAUGGAGUCAGACACAAGGUAGCAACAGCAUAUCACCCACAAUCCAUGGUCAGGCCGAAAUGUCCAACAAAGAAAUUAAAAAGAUCUUAGAAAAAGUGGUGAACCCAACGAGGAAGGAUUGGUCUUUACACUUACAUGACUCUCUAUGGGCCUACAUAACAGCAUACAAAACUCCACUCGGCAUGUCUCCUUACCGAAUUGUUUAUGGAAAGGCUUGUCAUUUGCCACUAGAGCUAGAGCAUAAAGCACACUGGGCACUGAAGAAAUUAAAUUGGGACAUUCAUGCUGCAGCAGAGCAAAUGAAGCUUCAACUUUGUGAGCUUGAUGAAUUACGACUAUUUUCAUAUGAAAAUGCAAGAAUCUAUCAAGAGAGGACAAAACACUGGCACGAAAAACAUAUUCAACACAUGCAAUUCAACCCUAGUCAAUUAGUGUUGCUACACAAUACAAGACUAAGAUUAUUUCCGGGAAAGCUCAAGUCACGAUGGUCUGGCCGUUUAAGCUGUUAAAAUUUUAUCCUCAUGGAGCUGUUGAUCUUCUAGAUGAACAAACAAGUCAAGAAUUCAAAGUUAAUGAACACUGGGUUAAGCAUUACAUACAUCCAGCGCCCGAUUGUUCAAAAGAGGUGUUACUCCUUAAAGAACCCAGCUAUUGAACAAUGAAAGAAUGUCAAGCUGAAGGACCUUAAAUCAAGCGCUCCAUGGGAGGCAACCCAUUGUGGAGACAGCCACUUUAAACCAACUUUGAUCUCCUUUAAGUGCAGAGGUGAGCCACGUGUCAGAGGCUUUAGUGUGGAGUAUGUAACCGUUGCUAGAGUAAGCGAAUGGGUGCUGCAGCAACCAAUUUUACCGUUACAGUAAAUUAAAAGAUGGAGCCUCUCACUUACCGUUGGAAAUAAAUCAUGACAGAUGGAGGGACAUUAGCCUCAAUUUGUUACUACUACAGCAAUGCCGAGGUAUAAGAAAACAGCCAGCCGCCUCAAAGAUCCGUCACGCUUCCAGAGUUACCACGCUGAAGAAAAAUAUGAGGAAUUCAUAGAGCCGUGUAAGAUUCUGGAAGAAAAAGGGUUUCAAUUUCCAGAACAACUCACUGGAAUUGUGCAAACAAUUCACAAUGCUGCAGCAAAGCGAGAAUGGUUAGAGUUUUGCAACCACCCUCGGGAUCCUGUGGUACCAGUAGUCAAAGAAUUUUACGCCAAUUUGGUAAGCCCUGAUCAGCACAACAUUUGGGUAAGAAACACACUUGUUCCAUUAGACUCCCGUGUUAUAAAUGGCUUUUAUAAUUUACCUGCUGAAAUUAAUUGUGAGUAUGCCAAGUUGCUUGAUAAAUUGACCCCGAAAAAGUGGAACACCAUUUUCACAACUCUUACAAUCGAAGGGGCAUCAUGGGCUAACGAGGACGGACGUGUAGUUAAUAGGAUAGAUUUGAAACCGUGAAAUUUCUGAAAUCUAGGCUUAUGCCCACCACUCAUACUACUACGGUUUCACAAGAGAGGUUGGUCUUGUUAUAUGUCAUUGUUUGAGGGCUUCUCAUAGAUGUGGGUAGCAUCAUCGCAAAAGAAAUCCGGGAUUGUGCAGUUAAGUCUCACUGAACUGCUGCCUUGCUAUUUCCUUCACUCAUCACCAGCAUUUGUGUAGUUUUUCGGUGUUCGUCUUGACACACGAGAUGACCAUGUCAAGAACGAUGGUGCGCACCAUUGAGAGAGUUGCUGGUGAGAGUGCGGGAAUAACCACUGAACCAGCUGUUGUAACAGGUGCAGGACGGGCUAUUGGCUUAGAACAGACUAUCCAGGCACUCAGCACCAAUAUAACUCAAUGUGCGGAAGCUCAGCAGAGGGAAAACGAUCGGUUUUGGAGUUGUCUACAGCACCUGGACAACCAACUACACCAAUUUGCUCUGUACAUGACACGCACUCACAGGAACUUCCCUGAUUCAUUGCUCCAGCAGUAUAAUUUUGACAGCAACACCACAGGUGCUCCAGCAGAAGCCAGUGAAGAAGCCACUGCCACAGAUGAGCCAGCAGAAGAAGCUGCAGCUGAACAUAAGUAGAGGUAGAAUCAAAAGAUAUUGAACCAUCUGAGGAAGAAGGUGACAAGUCUGAGACUGAUAGCUCACCCACAGAGGCAGAGGACAACUCGGAGAAAGAACGUGAGGAACCUUCUAUCCCAACUCAGUCCAAAACCAGGAAAAAGCACAUUAUUCAAGAAGAUGAGGAGGAAGACCUUGAAGAGGAACCGUCUAUUCCAGUCUUUGCGGGAAAGGGAAAGGGCAAGGGUAAAGCAAAAAUGACAACACCUCUAGCCUUUGACGAUGAAAUGGAGCAAGUUGAUGCUGAGCUGGCUGCUGCAGUAACCAGAGUUAUGUCUACACCUGCAGAAGCCAAGCAACUACUUGCUAUCACAGCUGAGGGCCAGGCAGCUGAUGCAUCAACUCCAAUUCCUCCACAGCAAACUCCUAGCCAGCCUGUUCGUACCAGUCCGCAACAAUACAGCAAAAGAAAAGGCAGUACGUCUAAAGGCACUGCUACAGCAACCCCAGCCACAACUCCUCUCACAAGCCCCGUGAAGAAAAAGACAAAGACAUUGUCAGCUACUUCCCCACAAGUUUUACCAAAGUAUAAGCUGCGCAGUGCAUCCAAGAAGCGCUGAUAGCAUCCCGUCAUGUGCUGCAGUCCCCACCACAGGGGAGUAUUCUUUCCUUGCUAGUUCACUUCAUUAAAAAAAAAACAUUUUUUCCUUCUAUUUGUCAAUUUGUGUGGUAUUUUCUAAGGUCUUUCAUAUCCUUGUCAGUUCGUGUGCCCUUGUUAUGUAUGCUUGUGAGGACACAACAACUCUCAAGUUUGGGGGGGUCGUGUUUCCGAAUGCAUGUGUUUAUGUUUCUGUUGUGUGAAGCUAUGUUAUCUAAUAUUUGUGUAUGGAUUUGAAAACCUAAUGAAGAUAAAUUGAGUGUUAUUCAGUAUUUAUGAGAAUGCCAAGUAGAGAUAGUUAUAGAUGGAAGUGAAAUUCUGUCCCGACACUUAGACUUUGGUUGAAUUGUAUGAGACUGCUAGAGCAGAGCUAAAAGAAUAGAAAAGAGCUUAAGUUUGGGGGGAGAAGCAAGUUUGAUUGACUGUGAUAUCUAUGAAAUAAACUUUGUUCCAAUGGCUCAAGUUGCUGAGUAACCAGAUCUGAGUAUGUACCCCAUAUGCAGAAUUGUGUUCAAAGGUAGCGAGAGUUAUGAGCAAUGCUGUUCAUGAGCCCCAUAUUCAGCCUUGAGUAAAAGAUACCUCUAGAUAAGAUUAUACUGCAAAUAUUGCUGCAGUAACUCUGAUCUGGGCAUGGUUUGAGUAAUUGGGUGUCCUCAUUACAAGUGAUUGACAUUCACAUGAAAGAUAAAUGUUACAGUGAGGAGGUUGAUUACUCCCCAGUUUAUCAAUAUUAAAAUCAUCACAGUUUGAGUAUGUGAAACUUGUGCUACCCCAUUUAUGAAUGAAGUGUUAUCACUGCUGAAAUUCAUGUAGUCCCUUGGUGAUGUUAUAGCAUCUCUGGAAUUCAAUCAAAGGAGCACACACACACUAUGGACAGAAAGAAGCUUAAGUCUAGAACUGAUUUACUAUGGUCAUUUUGCAUGAUUGGGAUUGUGAUCUGAAGGUGGAAAAAUCCUUGCAAAUUUGAUAAAAGAGCUAAAAUUACGUGCAUGAUUGUUUGUCGGAAGUGUUAGUAUGUGUCAUUACUUGAGGGCAAGUAAUGGUUUAAGUUUGAGGGUGUGAUAACUCUAGGAAAUCAGAGUUGUUACAUCAAUUCUAGACUUAAAUCAAGAUCAUUUAGAGAACAAAUAAGGUGUUUUUAUUACAUUUUGGUUACAUUUUGCAUAAACAUUCAUUUUAGUUGAGUCUUAAUAAGUUUUGCUUGAAUCAAAGUAAUUUGUGCUAAAAAUAAGUGCAUAAUUGUAGGUUUUCAGAAAGUCUUAAUUCAUGAGAGGAUGUUGAGACAUUAGAUGAGCAAGAGGAGGAAAGAAUGUCUAGUAUUACUGUAAGUGUAAUGAUCAAUUUUUUUUCUUUAUUUGUUAGCACUUUGCAAUGAUCUAAAUAAAUAGUUAUAAAUAAUAAAUAAGGUAAAUGUUCUUUCAAUCCCUAUAGAUUAAACCAAUUACUCAAUUAGUUUUUGUGCUCUCAUGUUGUUAUUUUUGUUGGAAUUAGAUUUAAUUUUUCAAGGGUGAAAUGGUAUUUAUAUCUGAUAUUGUUUAAAAUUGAAAUAAAUUUGACAAGAAACUAUGAACAAUAGAUGACGAAUCAGAUUUCAUGGAAUUAUAUAUAUAGUAAGGCCAGGGAUGACAAAACCUGGGGUUGGGCCCAGGAAUGGCAAAUCCUAGCUCCGACACGGACAUGUUUUUUGAACACCUAGGCUAGGCAUUUUGUUCGAGCUUCAAAAGCCUUGGAUUUUAUAUUUUAUAAUAUUAAGUAUGUAUAUGUUUAGAUUUAUAUAUUUUUUAUUUUUUAUUUUUUUCAAUGAAAUUAGGCAUGAAAUAUGAAUUUAAAUGUUCAAAAAUUUUAACGUAUGUAAUAGAUUGGCCGAAUAAAUAUAAUUAUUUAAAAUAAUAUAUUUUUUAUAAUUUUCUUAUCAAAAUUAGAAUUUUGGACACUAUUGAUUGUCCGGGGCUAUGGCCUGACCUCAUCCCUUGACUAGAUAUUACUUGGCCCAUAUCGCGUAAGUUCUGUCCAAGUCCGAUUGCGCGGAUAUUUUUGACACCCCUAAAUAAGAUUUUAAUGCAAUUAUCCAUAUUUAAUUUGGUCACUUUAUCAACUAGUAAUAAAAUUUCUGUACUUUUAUCAAAAGUGCGACCUUAUGUCCAAUGAACCUCGAUUACUAAAAUGAUCUCAAAUUUCAUCAAUGCAUUUUAUAAAAUGAACUAAAAAAAUGGAAACAAUUGAAUUUGAAUGCUUUCAAACUCGGGCAAAACUAUGGUACCACAGUAGUACCAUACCACAGCUGGAUUCAGCCAUUGGAUCCAGCCUAUAGUUGUCACCAAAACUAAAUCCAAUGGCUGGAUCCAGCUGUGGUAUGGUACCACUGUGGUACCAUAACUGGACCCUUCAAACUCAUUAACAAAAUAAUAUUGAAACUACUUGUGUAACAAAUAGGGCGCUAAGUGAGAUGAACCCUUUAUUAGUAAAAUUUUUUGUUUUCUGUGUAAAGAAAAUUUUACGAAUACAAUAAAAUUUAAAAAGAGAUUAAAAAGAAGAAAAAUAUGAUAUGAAUAUAAAUGGUAUGAGACAAACACCGAUGCGCAAUUCCAAUAAGAAAACAAUUUUUUAUUUGAUUAAAUAACUUCAUACAAGGAAAAUGCCAAAAUCAAGGGUUCGGUGUUGUUUGUUUUUUCACUUAAUAUUGAAACUAGAUCCAGCUAUUUUCAAUUUUUUUUGUUUUUAAAUUAACACCGAAAAUUUAUCAAAUAAGUUUGAAUAAAAUUAAGUGUGAAAAAGAAUAACUUAACAUUUAAUGUUGAAUGCUAGAUGGAUUAUUUAACUUUUACUUUCGAAACUACCAUCAUAUUGAAUCCAUUCUAGCGCUAAGUUUACUAAACAAUUUUAUCAUAUGGUUGUUCACUUCUUGCUGACCAUUUGAAAGUGAUUCUAUUGUUUUCUCCAAUUUUAUCAUAGGAUUUGUCUGCUUUUCCCCUGCAUAUUUUGUGAAAUAAAGAUAGAAUCUGAAGUUGGCAGCAUAAAUAAGCUCAUUUGAGAAGCACAUAAUUUUAGGGGUGGUCACGCAUUGGUUGGAUAAGAUUUGUGAAUACUCAAUCUAAACCACUAUUGAAUGGGUUGAUAUAAAAUCAAUUCAAUCCAACCCAAUAAAUAUGCUCAAUCCAAUCCAACCUGACCCUUAAAUCAUCAGGUUGGGUUGGGUUGAUCAAGUUGAAAAUUUGAAUGUCAAAUUAAAAUUAAAAUUAAAAAUUUAAUAAAAAAGAUAUAAGACUUAAAACGAGACUUAUUAAAAUUAAAUGUAAAUAUAUUAUAACAUAAAAAUUUCAUUCAUGGUCUAGCAUUCGAUAAAGAAAGCUAAAAACACUUAAAUGUGUGGUCACCUAGAAUUUGUAAGGCCUAUAAAUACAUGGCCAUGUCUCCGACUGAAGCAAUGAAGUUAAGAAUAACUAAAUUUUUCACUAGUAAAAUACUUUCCACUAAUCAAAUAUUCCUAAUAAAAAAUAUUUCCACUUUAAUUAUUUUAGCCUACUAUCUACCCCUGCUCCAACUCCUAUGCCUUCCACUUCCUUAAUUCUUGGGAAUCGAAUCUUAAAAAUUUUUUAUAUCAUGGAAUUAAAGGAGGAAAGAUCAAAAUGAAAGAGUAUGAUAAGUUUCUUUUGAAAAAUGAAUUAUUUUUUCAACAUUUCUUUGAUAACGUAUCAUUCUCACUAUAAACUAUAUUGUGAUUAUUUUAUGUUGUUUGCUUAUUUUAUUUUAUAUCUUUGGUUACUACAGCAUUUUUCUAGAGUAAAAAUAUAUAAAAGCUUCAAAAUAGGCAUGGAGUUCCAUGCAUAUUCUGUUAUUCCGUCUUUCGAUUUAUUGACACAUUGACACAAAACAAGGAUAGAACUAGUUUCAGAGACAACUUAAAGUUGAAAAUUACAUAAAUUAAGCUUCUUAUUCAAAAGCCGUACGUGCUGGUUUUGGGGGGUCAAUGAGAAAAAUGUCAAGAAGUUGAUCGAUUGUGGUGAAUUUAAAAUCUGGAUACAGCUUUGAAGCUUCAAUGUCAUCCUCUCCAAGUUCAAAGUUCAUCGAGUCACCCUUUGCAAGUAGGCUGUGCAUGAUGGAUAUUGGUAUGUCUUCUGGAGGUGGUAAGGCUGCAACAAUUGAAAAAUUAAUAGGUUGUAAUAAACAAUAUCAAUUAAGUGUAAAAAUGAAUGAGAUGUCAAAGAGAUCGAAGCUUAUGAAAUCUUAUAGUUAGGGGUGGAACUAGGCAGAGACGAAGAUAUGAAUUUUUCUUAGAAUGAGUUAACUAAAAUUUUUUCAAUUUAAAAAAAUCUAAAAUAAAAGCUGUUACAUCACCCUAACAUUAAAUAAGUACUUUCAGGUUUGAGAAAUACUUUAUUAAUUGACUUCAUUUAACAAGAAAAAUUAUCCUAUGUACACCAUACCCAAUUUGGCACAAUUAAAUAGUUUUUAUUUUAUUGACUUUCUUAAACUUUUUAAUUAUCUAAUAAUACUCGGAUUGUGGGGUAUUGUACGCUUAGUUAGAUACUAACUUCAAACAAUCAACAGUCAAAUGAGUGAUAAAUAUCAUACACGAGAAACAUAUUAGGUUAUGGCAAAAAUUUAUAAAAGAUGAGCGCCUGCUUUGAAAUUUAACCAAAAAACAAAUUUACGUAUUGACCCUACUAGAUUAUACUUUGGGCCCAUAGAAUGGAACAUCAUUCCGGUUCCGCUCCUGCUUGCAUUGAUUUUAUCUUUUAUGACUUUAUAUAAAAGUGAAUAAUUUUAUUAAACAAAAAAUUAAAUCAAAAAUCAAAAUUCUUACUAUGAGAUAGCUUUACUAGCUCUUCCUCAGAAACUUGAAUUCUUUUAAAACUCUGUCCAAUCUUCUGUUCCUAAAGGGAGAUCAAUUCAAGAUGUGAUAAAAUGUUUGUUUGCGGUCAAUAAAUCGCAAUUCGAUUGCAUGUCCUUGGAUCAUUUAUCACUUUUAUUGUACAUUUAGCUAUAUCUUCCUCGUAAUUAAAGACAACUGAAAUAGAUAAAUAGAUGAUAGAACAUCAAAAAGAUAUUCAAAAAAAUGAAAUUUUAGUGUAAAUUUUAUUUUAAUAUGCGUGGACUUCUGCAUUGGGAAGGUAUACGUACCUUUUGCUUCACCACUUCCAUAAACAACAACAUCAUCAUGUGAUUCAAAUGGACGAAGCAAGACAUUCACAAAGUAAGCACCACAGAGAUUUGCUGAGACAAAGGUGUAGGGAAUUUGAGCUGCUUCUAUUGCCCUUCUUACUAUUCGUUUUUUCUCCAAGUAAGCUUCAAAAGGGGGCAGAGGCCUCACCCUGUCCUCUUCACAUCCAAACUCAGAUGGAAGAAACCUCUAGCAACCAAAACAUAGUGUGUUUAAGAUUUGUUCUAUAUAAACAAAUUGAAGCAAUGCAGCACUGAAUUGUAAAAAGACACUAAAAUGUUACCAAGACACAAAUACGAAAUUAAAGUUUGUGAUUUUAGGUAUUUUGCUAAUUAAGUAGUGCUGGUAUAUAUUUUUAUGUCUUUUAUAACUAACUACUAUUGCGUAGUUUAAAUCUACAUUUACAAAAUGCGGACGUCUACACUUAAAAGUUUCUAAUAUUUUUCAAUUAGCAAACAAACUAUAUUUCAAUUUCUCCCCCCAAAAAAAAAAAAGCACGAUUUGGUUUAUUUUUUAAAAAAGAAAGAGCUCAAUCAAAUACCUUGAUGUUACCCGCAACUUUGAUGGCAUGAACAAUUUCCAGUUGAUCAAGAAACUGAGGAUAAGCUACAGUAGAUAUCACCACAUCUACUUCCUUAAGUAUAGAUACAAUUUUCUUGUGCUCGUCCAGCUCUCCCUGUUUUAAUUUCAACACUAUUAUUACAAAUAAUAUCGAAGGGCUCCAAUUAGAUCAACACAAAAUUAAUCUCAUAAAAAGAAGUAUAAGAGGUCUGAGGUUCGAAUUUCGCGCGUGCAUUUAAAGGGGGAAAAAAGAGGAAAAAAAAAAAAGAAACAAAACCAAAGGAGAUCGAGAUAAUUGAGUAAUGAAGUAACCUCAAUAAUGGUGACGCCAAUACCCUGAAAUUCCUUGUGGAUUUCAAGCUUGGAGGGUCUUGAAUUUUGUGUAACAGGUCGAGCAUAAACAAAAGUUUUGUGACCAGAAGAAACACUUGCUUUCACCAUAUACUUACCGAGGUAUCCAGUACCCCCAAAGAUAAGUUUCUUUGGUUUUGUGUUCUCACCUUCCAUUUCUUCCUUUCAUUUCAAUUUAUCUUUUCAUAUUCCCUUCCCUUUUUACACAUUUAUAUGUUGAAAAUGUGAGACUCGACAGUUCAUGCGGAUAUAAUUGCUGCAAACGAACGGAUAUAAUUGAAGAAACAAAUUUAUGAAUGCUAGAAAUAUCUAAGCAUCUAAUAAAUUUCUUUUAGACAGGUAGAAAUAUCUAUGCAAAAGUUGUUAAAAAUUAGCCACAACGAAAAAUGCUAAAUGUGUGGUCACCUAGUGUUUGUAAGGCCUAUAAAGACAUGGCCGUGUAUCCAAUUCAAGCAAGGAAGUUAAGAACAACAAAAUCUUCCACUAGUAAAAUCCUUUCCACUUCCCUUUAUCUUUGAUCAAAUAUUAUUGAUCAAAAAUAGUUUCCACUUUAAUUAUUUUAGCCCACUAUCUACCCCUGCUCCAACACCUGCCUUCUACUCCCUCAAUUUUUGGGAACCGAAUCUAAAAAUUUUUAUAUCAUUGAAUUUAAAGGGGGAAAGAUCAAAAUGGAAGAUCAGUAUGAUAAGUUUCUUUUGAAAAUGAAUUAUUUUUUCAAUAUUUCUUUGAUAAUGUAUCAUUCUCACUAUAAACUAUAUCGUGAUUAGUUAUGUUUUCUGCUUAUUAUUAUCAUUAUUUUAACAUCACAGCAUUUUUCUAUAUAGUAAAAAUAUAUAAAUGCUUAAAAAUAUGCAUGGAGUUCCAUGCAUGUUCUGUUAUUCUUUCUUUUGAUUUAUUGACACAAAACAAGGAUAGGACUAGUUUUGGAAACAUAAUUAAUUAAAGUCGAAAAUUACAUAAAUUAAGCUGCUUAUUCAAAAGCCGUACGUGCAGGCUUUGGGGGGUCAAUUAGAAAAAUGUCAAGAAGUUGAUCGAUUGUGGUGAAUUUAAAAUCAGGGUACAGCAUUGAAGCUUCAAUGUCAUCCUCUCCAAGUUCAAAGUUCAUCAAGUCACCCUUAGCAAGUGCGCUGUGUAUAAUGGAUAUUGGUAUGUCUUCUGGAGGUGGUAAGGCUGCAACAAUUGAAAAUGGAUAGGUUGUAAUGAACAGUAUUAAUUGAGUUUAAAAAUAAAUGAGAUGUCAAAGAAAUUGAGACCUCUGAAAUCUUAUAGUCAAGGGUGGAAUUAAGCAUAGGUGAAGAUAAGAAUUUUUCUUAGAAUGGGCUAACUAAUUUUUCUUUAUUUUUAAAAAAUUUUAAAAUUAAAGCUGUUAAAUCACCCUAACAUUAAAUAAAUACUUUUAGGUUUGGGAAACACACAAUUAAUUAACUUCAUUUAAUAAGAAAAAUUAUCCUAUUGUGACAUCAUACCCAAACUGGUAUAAUUAGAUAGUUUUUAUUUCAUUUUCUUGAUUUUUUAAUUAUCUAAUAAUGCUCAGACUGUGGGUUAUGGUACCCUUAGUUAAAUACUAACUUCAAACAAUUAACAUUCAAAUUAGUGAUAAAUAUCUUACACAAGAAACAUAUUUGGUUAUGGUAAAAAAAUUAUAAAUGAUGAGGGUCUGCUUUGAAAUUUAACCAAAACAAUUCACGUAUUGACCCACUAGAUUUACACUUUGGCCCAAUGGAAUAGAACAUCAUUCUGAUUCUGCUUGUAGUGAUUUUAUCCUUUUAUGACUUUAUAUAAAAGUAAAUAAUUUUAUUAAAAAAAUUAAAUAAAAAAUCAAAAUUCUUACUCUCAGAUAGCUUUACUAGUUCUUCCUCAGAAACGUGAACUCUUUUGAAAUUCCAUCCAGUCUUUUGUUCCCAAAGGGAGAUCAAUUCAAGUUGUGAUAUAAUGCUUGCUUGCGGUCGAUAAAUCACAAUUCGAUUGCAUGUCCUUGGAUCAUUUAUCACUUUGAUUGUACAUUUAGCUAUAUCUUCCUCGUAAUUAAAGACAGCUGAAAUAGAUAAAUAGAUGAUAGAACAUAAAAAAGAUAUUAAAAAAAUGAACUUUUAGUGUAAAUUUUAUUUUAAUAUGCGUGGACUUCUGCAUUGGGAAGGUAUACGUACCUUUUGCUUCACCACUUCCAUAAACAACAACAUCAUCAUGUGAUUCAGAUGGACGAAGCAAGACAUUCGCAAAGUAAGCACCACAGAGAUUUGCUGAGACAAAGGUGUAGGGAAUUUGAGCUGCUUCUAUUGCCCUUCUUACUAUUCUUUUUGUCUCCAAGCAAGCUUCAAAAGGGGGCAGAGGCCUCACCCUGUCCUCUUCACAUCCAAACUCAGAUGGAAGAAACCUCUAGCAACCAAUACAUAGUGUCUUUAAGAUCUGUUCUAUAUAAACAAAUUUGAAGCAGUGCAGCACUGAAUUGUAAAAAGACACUAGAAUGGUAAAAAGAUGCAAAUAUUAAAUUAGAGUUUGUGAUCUUAUAUAUUUUGCUAAUUAAGUAGCCUAUAGCUAACUACAAUUGCCUCACCUAAAUCUACAUUUACAUAGUGCGGACAUCCACAUUUAAAAGUUUCUAAUAUUUUUCAAUUAAUAAACAAACUAUAUUUCAAUUUCUCCAAAAAAAACAAAAGGACAACAAGCGAUUUAUUUUAUUUUUAAAAAAGAAAGAGCUCAAUCAAAUACCUUGAUGUUACCAGCAACUUUGAUGGCAUCAACAAUUUUCAGUUGAUCAAGAAACUGAGGAUAAGCUACAGUAGAUAUCACCACAUCUACUUCCUUAAGUACAGAUACAAUUUUCUCGUGCUCGUCUAGCUCUCCCUAUUUUAAUUUCAACAGUAUUAUUACAAAUAAUAUCGAAGGGUUCCAAUUACAUCAACACAAAAUUAAUCUCAUAAAAAGAAGUAUAAGAGGUUUGAGGCUCGAAUUUCGGGCGUGCAUUUAAAGAGGGAAAAAAAGAGCAAAAAAAUAAAUAAAUAAACAAAACCCAAGGAGAUCGAGAUAAUUGACUAAUGAAGUAACCUCAAUAAUGGUGACGCCAAUACCCUGAAAUUCCUUGUGGAUUUCAACCUUGGAGGUUCUUGAAUUUUGUGUAACAGGUCGAGCAUAAACAAAAGUUUUGUGACCAGAAGCAACACUUGCUUUCACCAUAUACUUACCGAGGUAUCCAGUACCCCCAAAGAUUAGUAUCUUUGGUUUUGUGUUCUCACCUUCCAUUUCUUCCUUUCACUUCAAUUUAUCUUUCAUCCUCCCUUCCCUUUUUACAUAUUUAUAUAUGAUAUCAGGAACUCACAUUUUUAGUGUUGAAAAUGUUAUACACACAGAAUCUGGUAAAUUUGUGUUUCUUGAAAAAGUUGCUUCACCUAAACUAUUAUUUUUUAAUUUUCAUCAAUAAUCAAUAUUCUUAACCACAUAAAUUUUAUCUCCAUUAUUGUUCCCCGAAAAAAAAAAAUAUUUAAUUAUAAAUUUCAAUAGCUAAAUGUAUUAUUAAAAUAUUUGAAUUUUUUCAACCACGAUAAAAAGAAGUCUAAUCCGACCAACAAGUGCUUAAUUUUCUACAUGUUGAAAAUUUGACUUGAAUGUGGGAAAACAUUAAAGACAAUAGGACAAAAUAAUUGAAAUCAUAAUUCUCUCUUGAUCUAGUCUUUAUAUGAGUAAAUUUUAUUAACACAAUUGGUGGUUAAUAAAUUAAAAAAAAAAUAGUUAAAUCUUAAUCUUAUACUAACACUAAAAUACAAGUGACAUAAGAUCUAUAAAAGAUCAAGAGUGUUCAGACUAAGGAUAUUAAUCCAAAUAAUUGCUCCGCAAAAGAGUGAUAAUGAAAUAGCAAAAUUCCUUGACAAUUUUGUUCAUGCAAUUAAAUACCAAGUGGUGAGAGCAAAAACAAAUAAAAGGCCAAAGCCUUUCGGCUUUAGAAUUGAAAAGGUGGGGCCCAUUUUGAAGAUUCUAUAAGUAAGCUUUUGGGUUUUGGACGAAGAGGAGAGUAGGGGUGGGCGCGGUUCGGUUCGGUUCGGUUUUUUACUAAAUUUUUCAUAAUCGUUCGAUUACGAUUAUUUUAAAAUCAUAAUCGCGAUUAAUCAAAUCACCAAAAUAAUCAAAUACUCGAUUAAUCGAAAUAAUUCGAUUCGGUUCGGUUCGAUUAUUUCGAUUAUGGACCUAUUGGAUCUAUUUUGAGUUUUUUUAAAUUUAAAGCCUUAAACUAAUAAAUCUACCAUAAACAUAAAAAGUUAACAAACAAAAAUUGUAAAAUAAAAUAAAAUAAAGCUUGCUACAAUAUUAAUUUCUAAGAGGAUAAAAUGUUUUGAGGAAGAAAAUGUUAAUCCAACAGGACACAAAUUCAUCAAUUGGAUUUCCAUUUAAGCAGCCUUCCAGACUGAGAAAGUGAGAAUCCCAUCAACAUGGCAACAUGCAACAAUAAUAUGACUUGAUUGACUUAUAUAAGUACUUCAAGUCUUGCAAUUAAAUUAAAAAUUGUAACUAAUUAAAUGUAAAGAACCCGAGGACCUGCAAUUCUUCGACUAGCCAUGUACAAAUAUAAAUGGCCAACCCAACAGGCAAAUUUUCAUAGAAAGUAAAGCAUUUUCUGGGCACCAUAAUGAUCAUGGAAGCUGAAAGUUUAAGUGAAAGCAGAAACAAAAGGGAAGAAGACAGUAAGUCAAGGCAAAAGGUGCAGAGAGAGACAGAGUUAAUUGGAAAUGCCAAAGACAGAGUUAAUUGGAGAACUGUCUAAAUUCUCCAUUAUUACCACUCAUGAUUUGAUGGUUAUCUAAAUUCUCCAUUUCCGUAACACAGGUACAAACAUGAAAUAUUUCAGCAGCGGUUCCUUUCAAUUACAAAAUCACAAAAAUUAAAUAUCACAAAAUCUUGCAUUUACUUAAACAAGUUCUGGUUCCUUUCAAUUACAAGAAAUAACAAUAUCAUUCCGUUUCCAUCACUGAAGAACUUCGAUUGAAAUCAAAACUUUUUUUGUUGUUUACCUUGUGAAGGCGAUCGAGAGUGAAGGAAAGGAGAACUUCUUAAGGUUGCUGAGAGAUAAACUUCCAGAAAACAAAUACCAAUCUUCACAGUUCACACGGCAGGUGACAGUGGCAGCAGCAGCAGUGAUGACUGACGAGCAGCGGCGGCAACGAGCUUGCAGCGGUGGCGACGAGCAGAGGGGACAGAAGAAGACAGAAGUGUGGCUGAAGGUCACGACGAACAGCGGCCAGCGGGAAUAGAAGAAAUCACGACGAGCAACGGCCAGCGAACAGAAGAAGUCACGACGAGCAGAGCAGCGGCCAGCGGGAGACAGAAGUCAGAAGUGUUUAGAUUUAAGCUUUAGGGUUUUUUUACAAUCGAUUUAUUUGAGAUUCCGGUUCGGUUUUUCGGUUUUUUUAAAAAAAUCGAAAACCGAACCGAUUAAUUUUACUAUUUGUAUGAUAUUACUAUUUCGGUUUUUUAGAAGUAAAAAAACCGCACAAAAACCGAACCGAACCGAUCGGUUCGGUUCGAUUUUUGAUUAAUUAACUUUUUUUGCCCACCCCUAGAAGAGAGGGAGCCGCCAAAGAGGAAAAAAAAAGGCAGACGCAAGGCAGAAAAGGAGAAGAAGAAUAGUGGCAGCAGCAGUAAUUUAAUUCUCCAUGAUUGAUUUUAUUUAUUUUGUUGCUCCUUAUUUAAGUAUGUCUAACUAAUUUUCUUAUAUUAAGAUUAAUGAUGAAAUCAUAUUUAAUGAAAUAAUUAUUUUUUUAUUUAAUUAAUUUCUUAUACGUGUGCUUUAAUGUUUAUGAUUUUUGUUGAAAAUGUGAGACUCGACCGUUCAUGUGGGGGACUCAAUUUGUGGUGUUUCCGUGCAAUAAUGUUGUACGCUAUAGAUGUUAAAAUCAAUGGAGCUAUUUCAGCAGUUCAAAAUCCGAAAAUUGUCUCCUUAUUUCUGAGUGAUAAAUUGAUAACAUCUUUUAGUGUGAGAAAUUUAUAAUUUUUUACUUAGUAAUUUUAUCUCAGCGUCUUUGACUGUUUACACAUAAAUUGACAAAAUCAGCCACGAUUCUUAUGUUUCCCCUUAUAAAUGGAUAAUUUAAAUUUGUGAUAAUAUAUAUUUUAUUUAUUUUUCUUUAAAUGAUAGAAUAAUAGACAAAGUUCAAAUUAAUUCCUUAUUUCCUUUAGUUUUAGGACUCAAACUCGGAACCAACCAAAUAAUACUAUUUGAAAACCACUCAUUAGGCCGGCAACAAAUAAGUGAUAAUAAGUUUUUGGUUUAUAAACAAAAUGACGACGUUUUCUAUGCGAAAUGAAUGGUGACUAUUGCUCUAUGCCACGAGCAAUUUUUGUGAGUAUUCAGAUUCUCACAUGAAUAUAUAAUACAAUGGUUGAUUGAUAAAAGGAUGACGGGUCUUUUGUGAGCUUUGUAGAUAUAUUUUUCUUCCAAUUGUACUAUUGCAAAAAAAAAAAAAAAGGGAUCCGAAUCUUCAAUUGAUUUUUUUAAAUUGUUUUAAGGGGAAAUUAAAGCACUUACGUGGUCUUGUACAAUUUUUAUAAAUAUAUAUAGUUGUUUUAAAAAAUAGUGACAUCGUCUCUUCCUACGACAACUAUGUCUUUUAUUGUAGUGAUCGAAUUAUUUUUAUCUAGGCGUAAUUAUUCCAAAAGUAUCUAUAUAAUCAUUUUGUUAAAUGACGAAAUGUGACCAUUUUUUUCUCAUUUUUUUUCAUUUACAGUGCUGAUAUUUUCAUACCACAAUUUUUGUAAACCCACCCUACUUCAAGAAAAUAAUUAUAAUAAAUUCACAUUAUUUUUAAGAAAAUUCAAAUAAAGAAGAAGUUUGAGAAGUAAUUAAUUAAAUCUACCUUGAUUUGUUUUGUGACUUUAAUUUUUUUAUCAUAUUUGACUAAAAAGAUUGCUUUGUCAUAAUUUUAAAUUGAUUAUUUACUCUUAUAAGGUAAAAGUAGCAAAAUACCAAAAAAUUUACUUUAAGUUCAGAGUUUUUGAAUUUUAUACAAAAUUUAUAAUUUCUAAAAAAUGUAUCAAAACAAAUUUAUUAGAAUGAUUAUUAAGAUUUAGUUAAACUAACAAAAUAUUUUUAUGGCAUAAGACUCAUGUAAUUUAUUGGAUGUCAUGUUGUAAGUCACAAAACUAAAUACUUAGAUUGUUAGAUAUAGGAACAUUAUCACAUUAUCUUUGGAUAAUUUGGUCAUUUUAUGUAUCUUGGGUAAAACAUUGAAAUAAAAUUUAUCUUAAACCAACCUUAAUAGCAAAUAUGGCUAAACAAACAUAAGUGAAAAAAAUACAUAAGAAUUAAUUGAUUAAUUGCCCAAUCUCUUUGUUUAUCUCUAUUUUUUGAAAAUAAUGUGAGCUUAUUAUAACACUUCUAUCUCCCUCAAGAUUUACAUUCGGGUGACUAGCCAAAUAUAGAUGCUUGAAAACCAAAAGGCUUGGGAAAAUAAGAAAAUCUUAUAUAUUUUCACUAUCUGUUUCAACAAAUUUAUACACAUGGAAUCUGGUAAAUUUGUUUUCUUGAAAAAGUUGUUUCACUUAAACCAUUAUUUUUUAAUUUUCAUCAAUAAUCAAUAUUGUUAACCACAUAAAUUUUAAUUCCAUUAUUGUUCCCUGAAAAAAAUUUAUUUAAAUAUAAUUUUCAAUAGCUAAAUUUAUUAUUAAAAUAUUUGAAUUUUUUUUAAACCGCGAUAAAAAGAAGUCUUACCCGACCAACAAGUGCUAAAUUUUCUACACGUUGAAAAUUUGACUUGAAUGUGGGAAAACAUUAAAGAAAAUAGGGCAAAAUAAUUGCUCGGUAAAAGCGUGAUAAUGAAAUAGCAAAAUUCUUUGACAAUUUUGUUCAUGCAAUUAAAUGCCAAAUGGUGAGGUUGGGGAUCAUUGAAGAAGUUGAAUGGUCUUUGGCCAUUAUGAAUGGUCGAUCCGCAAUUCAUUCAUGAUUUGUCAAUAUUUGCUCAUGGAAAUGGCGGAUAUUUCACCGGAUAUUGGACCGCAAGCUUAAGGCGAUCCUUACACGCCAUCUGUUGAAAAAUUCAAAAUUGAAAUUCAAAUACACAUGCAUGCAUUCAGCUUUGACGAGGUAAAUUUGAAGACAAAUUCCUUGCAUGCAAAUUUCAAGCACACCAAUAUUGAGCUAGCGUGAUCCAAUUGCAUGUGCUACUUAGGGUUCAUGGAUGAUUUGACCUGAACAGGCCAAUUCCUUACCUCAAAAGGUCAACUAUCUAUCUGACCUGUCGAUUCCUGAGCCUCCCCUCCCGGUUGGCGUUUGUCAGCCACUAGAGCAAGUAAGAGAACCUACAGUGAAUGAACUUAAAGAUAAAGAACAGCCUAUCCUAGAUCUUCCCAUUUUCAAGAAGAUCCCGGGCUCGAUCCGGUUUAGUAUCAAGGUGAGGGAUCAGUGUUUUCUAAGUGAAUCGAAAGCUUUCUUUCUUUAAGAGAUUUCAAGUCUGGGUCCCCUCGAGCACCCUUCCCUUGAACCUGAACUGGUCGAGAGAGAUGAACCCGCACCACAUUUUAUAACAGAACCAACUGGUUUCACACCGGAGGAACAAUUCUUUGAGGCCACGCAACGACCCAAACAGUUUGGAAAGCGUAUAUAGAAUGCAACCCUUGUUGGAGAAAAAUCAGGUUUUUAAAUUUUUUAUAAAACCUUUUGAAGAUCGCUCUCAUAUAAUAUAUAAGAAUUUGUAAUCUAGAAAUCGUACCUUGAAAAUCCGAUUUGGCUUUUUCCGUUGAAGUGAUUUAGGCUCCUAGAUCACGAUCCGUCACCACCACUCUUGUUAGAUCACGAUCCGUCACCACCACGCUUGUUAGAACACGAACUGGCACCAAUGAUCUUCCAGGUUAUGACUCAGGUUCGAUCAGCACUUGACGUGUGGGUGCCUUUAUCACUACCAAAGCAACUAGCACGAGAAAAUUUUUCUCUCAACAAUAGAGAGAAAAAUCUUUUUCUCUAAUCUGUAUAAAGUGGCUUUUUUUCUUUUUUUUAGAGAAAAAUAAGCCUUUUAUAUCACCCUUUAGUGAAAACCCUGGGCUCCAAAUAAUCAAAAAAUAAAACUCACGUUAUUUGCUUUUUCUAUAGGGGACCCACCUUGUAAAAUAACAUAAGGCCCCUUAAACAAAAGCUAAUUAAAUGGAGCCUCCUACUAAAUGAUAAAUUUAGGCUUUUGACCCAAAUAGCUAGUUAUCUUACUUAUUAGUCCAGUAGUGGUGCAGUCAAUUAAAUAAGCUAACCCGGGGAUCAUUUGGGAACAUACAAUAGUGGCUACAAUAAUUAGACCUGUAAUUAAACUAGCCCAAUUAUUUAAUUCCAAAUCUACUCCACUAAAAGAUUGGAAUUGGCUUCCAUAAUUGUAUGCUCGAAUAAUAAUUCGUCCCAAGCCACAUUGAUUUCUUUACUGCACAAUCCUUUAUACCACUUCGUUAAUUAAAUUGAUAUCUCAACUGUCCAAUCAAUUUAAUAACAUCUUAUUCCUUGAUCCUUACUGGUUUUCUCUAAUGAUCAUUUUCAACAUACUAAAUAUGUUGACACACUCUGGCCAGAGAAUUCUAUGAUCAAGUGCCGAAAACCCAUCAAGAGAUGUGUUGUACAAAUUCUAUAUUGUUAAUCCAUAACUCCAAUACUCAUAAUUGCUCCCACCAAGAUACCGGGUAAUCUUGACCACAAGGAUGUGUCGUGCCCAUUGGUAACUCAAAUGGAAUAACAAUUACAAUCAUGAAAUCAUAAUUAACUCAAGAUUAAGAUUACAGUAAAAUCAACGCCUAUGAGAUUUAAUAAGUCUGACAGUUAUUACAAAGUUAAUUAAAUCUCAUAUGUGAUCCUAUUCAAUGUAGUCGUUCUACAUCAAUAAAUUCAUACAUGAUUAAGACAAAUCAUUCAAUGAAUUUAUUACAGUCUAUACCUAAAUAAAGUGCCCAACUUUAUUUAUCAACUGCGAACUAAAUUUAUUUAAUCAUAAGAUAACUUGUAUUUAUGUCUUCUGUGAAUCCACAUGGUGAUCACAUAAAUACAUAUAAUAUGAUUAAAUGGAUUUUAAUAAAAAUAUUAAUGCAAUUAAGAUAUUUGCAUAAAAUACCUCAUUAUUUUUAUUAAUCAGAAAAAAUGUUUAUUACAAUUAAAUAAAGACAUAUGCUUUUAAAGAGCAUAUUUUCCUAACAAUCUCCCACUAGCUCUCAAAGUAUAUCUGACAUAUUGCACAUGCUCUAGGGCUCUAAGUGCAGGUUAUAAAGGUUUCCCACUAAUGGCCAUUGUAAUAAGAUCUGUCAUUUAGCAUCUAAUGCCAUUUGGGGUACUGUCAUAUAACCUUUCUACACUAUUCCCUUAUAAGAUGAUACUUCCUGUCAGUAUGUUUUGUUUCUUGUGGUUCCUUAGAUUGAGCUACUGCACCACCACUAUCACAAAAUAGUUUAAGGGGUGUAGUUACAACAGGUACCACCUCAAGAUUUUGUAGGAACUUGUGGAGCCUAUAUAGCUUCUUUUGCAGCUUCAGAUGUAGCCACAUAUUCAGCUUCAGUUGUGGAGUCUGUGAUACAAGAUUACUUCACACUCAUCUAACUAAUAGCUCCACUUCCUAAUAUAAACACAUAGCUGGAAGUUGAUUUUCUAAAAUCCUUAUCUGACAAAAAAUCAGAAUUAGUAUAACCCACUAGAAUAAGUUCAUCACCAGAAUACACAAGCAUAUAAUUUUUAGUUCUUUUCAGAUACUUUAUAAUAUGCUUGACUGCAGUCCAGUAUUGAGGUCCAGGAUUAAAUUGAUAUCUGCUAACCAUCCCUACCGCAAAACAGAUGUCUGGCCUAGUGCAAAGCAUGGCAUACAUGAGACUUCCCACAGCUUCUGCACAGGGAACUCGUCUCAUUCUCUCUAUCUCUUCAGAUGUUUUAGGUGAUUGAUCCUUAGAGAAUGUAAUUCCAUGUCUGAAUGGUAAUAAACCACUCUUGGAAUUUUUCCAUGCUAAAUCUAGCCAAUAUCUUAUCGAUAUAGACCGCUUGAGACAAGGCUAAAGUUUUAUUCUUCCGGUCUCGUAGUAACUUGAUACCAAGAAUAUAACUUGUCUCUCCCAAGUCUUUCAUAUCAAAUUGUUUUGCUAACCAAAUCUUUAUUGUAGUCAAUACUCCUAUAUCGUUUCCAAUCAGGAGAAUAUUGUCUACACAAAGAACUAGGAAGGCUACAAAUUUUCCCUGAAUUUUCUUGUACACACAUGGUUCAUCAAUGUUCUGAAUGAAUCCAAGCGAUUUAAUUGCUUGAUCAAAUCUGAUGUUCCAUGACCAGGAUGCUUGCUUCAAUCCAUAAAUGGAUCUCUGCAACUUACAUACCAUGUGUUCUUAGCCUUUUUGUAUAAAUCCAUCUGGUUGCUGCAUGUAGAUGUUUUCUUCAAGAUGCCCGUUAAGAAAGGCAAUCUUGACAUCUAUUUGCCAAAUUUCAUAAUCUAGCACUGCGGCAAUGGAGAGCAGAAUCCUGAUGGAUUUAAGCAUAGCAACCGGAGAAAAGGUUUCCUCAUAAUCGAUUCCUUCUUUCUGAGUAAACCCUUUGGCUACUAAUCUUGCUUUAAAUGUUUCCACCCUUCCUUCUACUCCUCUUUUUCUCUUGUAGAUCCACUUGCACCCUAUAGGUUUUACCCCAUUUGGUGCCUCUACAAGUUCCCAGACUUUAUUGGAAUACAUAGAUUCCAUUUCUUGAUUCAUGGCCUUUUUCAAAAUUCAACAUCUCUAUCUAUUAGAGCUUCGUUGUAACUAGUGGGAUCUUGUACAUGUUCAUCUGAAAUAGCCAUAUAGGUUUCUCACAAAAGCAUGUAUCUCGCAGGUAACCUAGUUACCCUCCCACUACGACGAGGUUCUAAAAGUGAUGGUUGUUCAAGGAUAAUCAUGUGCUGAUCAACUUGUUGUUGCUGUUCUUUAUGUUCUAUAACAGGUGUUGAAAGCUGAGCAUCAACCUGAUCUCUUUUAUUUCUCUAGUUUUACCUUACUCUUAGGUUAUAAGUCAUUAUAUAGUCUUCCUCAAAGAAAGUAAAGAAUAUUUCUAUAAAUACAUUCCUAUCUUGAGGACUACAAUUCAGACUUUCCCUAUUCCUUUAAGAUACCUAAAACAUGCAAGCUUCUGAACACGAAUCCAUCUUCUCUAUCUCUGAUUCUAGUAGAAAUACUAGUAAACUCCAAAUACGAAUGUGUCUCAAGCCAUGUUUGUGACUUUUUCAUAAUAGCUUGGAGUAGUAGACACCGAGAUAGAUGAAACUAAGUUCAAUAAACUUUGUAGUUUCAAAUACUAGUAUCUGGAAUCAAAAAGGUAAAUGAUAAAUCACUUAGUAUAUAUCUUGUCUUAUCCAAAAGAAUCUUGUUUCUCUAUUUAAUUACACUAUUGUAUCAUAGUGUUCAUUGACAACCAAAUAGUGCUUGAAUUCUCCAUAGAGAUAUUCUUUGUUUCGAUCAUAUCGAAGUUCUUUUAUGUUCCUGUCUAAUUGCUUCUGUCUUAUCCAUGUACUCUUUUGAAUUUCAAAAGCAAUGGAAUCAUGACGCAUUUAGACAAACAUAAAUAAAAUGAAUAUUCAUCAACAAGAUUGAUAGAAUACUCAUAACCUCUUAUAACAUGUAUACUGAUUAGUUCGUAUACAUUUGUAUGCGCUAAAUCAUCAAAUACAAUGUUAUGCUUUUAGCUCAAAAAGAGCAUCCUUGUCAUAUUACUUUUCUAAAUAAGAUUUAUAGAGUUACAAUGAUCAAUCUUAAUAGGCUAGCAAGUCUAUCAUUAAUCAUUUUCUUAAAAUCUUAUUAUAGUUUAUAUGACUUAAGCAUAAAUAUCAGAGGUGAUUUUUGGUUAGAAGAAACAUUUCUUUUCUUAGAUAAAUGCAUAUACUUUUUAUCAUUAUAUCUUAAUUUGAAUAGAUCAAUGUACUUCUAUGAUAUAAAUUGUCUUUAUAAAUAACCAAAAUAAGUAAUAAAUAGAGGAUCCAAAAAUAACAGUGUACUUCUGUUUAUUAAAACAAGCCACCGAAAUUAAAUUCCUCUAAUAUUUGGAAAAAUAAAGACAAAUAUCAAAACUAAAGUCUUGUAAAAUUGAUCUAGUCUUUCAAUUGAUAUAAACUAGCAUGUCCUCAACUGCUGUUUGAAGCUUUCUUCACUUAAUCUUUUGGUUUCCUGAAAACCAAAUAAAUUAAUUAUAAAUAAGAUUAGUUAUCUCAGAAUUCAUUAUUGUAUGAAUCAAUAGAAAUCUGAACUAAUUAGGAAGCUUAAAAAUUUCAUAUACCUGAUUUUAAUAAUCUUAGGACAAUCUUUCUUCCAGUGACCCUUCUGUCCACAUUUGUAACACUUGCCUUUUGGCUUGCCACUUCUUUUAGUGGACAGUUUGUCGAUCCCAACUCUUGCUUGCUCAUUCUUGUCUUUCGACUUAAGCCUUGAAGAGAAUCCUUUUUCAGGAAGUUUUCUGCUAUGAUAAAAUUCUUCUAUAGCAUGUAGUUCGUGCAUUAAUUCAAUUAAGGUCAUAUCUUUAUUGUUUAAGAUAUAGCUGACCUUAAACUCUUUAAAUGUAUCAGGUAAAGAUUCAAUCACAAUGUUAAUCUUUGAUUUAUCAUUGAUUUGAACACCAUGAAUCUCUACCUCAUUCAAAUAGUCCAUCAUUUUGAGGACAUGAUCACGAACUUUUGUGCCCUCUUCCAUCUUAGUAUCCGUAAUACGUUUUAAUGCUGCUUCUCUAGCAAAAUGAGUAUUUUGCCCAAACAUCUUAUGAAGACAAGCCAUUAUUUCAGUGGUUGUUUCCAUGCUCCGAUGUUUCUUAUGCAGUUCCACAGAAAUCGAAGCCAAUAUAUAGCGUUUAGUCAUUUUGUUAGCUUCGUACCAUUUCUCAUAAGGCUCCCUCUGAUUUCUAUAAUCGUAUAAGGAUGGUUCAGGAGGGCAAGGCUGGGUCAACACAUAUUUGCAGCCCUUAGCAGUGAGAAUAUUAAAUAGAUUGCGUUUCCAAUCUAAAUAAUUUUCGCCAGUGAGUUCAUUUUUAACAAGGAUAAUUAAUAAUGGGUUGAUGGAAGACAUUUUCUGAAAAAACAAAAUAGACAUGCAUAAAUACUUUGAAACAAUAUUCACAAUAAAUGACAAAAAUGCAAAAAAUCAUAAAUGCAUUUUAAUUUAUUGUAACGAUAAUCUAGUACCGCUUUGACAAGCUAUCCGUUGGGGAAGUCAUGUCUACACUUACUAGACCCAAUUAUCCAUUAGAUUAUUUACUUUCAUGUAGAGACAUGAUAAAUAAUUAUCGUUAUCCUUUUUGGGCCUAAAUUUGUUAACAGAGCUUCGUUGGGAAGGUUAAUAACAAAUUUUAGUUGAGUGUAUAACCAUUGUUUCAAUCUACAUAUUUUUUAUAUCAAUAGUCACCGUUGGGGCGAACAAUCGAUUAAAAAAUAUUUCAAUUUUAUCUUUGAAGAAGUUCAUCAAAUAAAAUAUCUAAUAUAUAUACCCUCCGUAGGGAGCAUCACCGUAUCAUGAAGUCGAGGUAUAUAUAUAAUUUUAUUAUUGAACUAACAAUGGAGCCCAUGGGAAAAAUUAUCUUGAAUUUUCCCUCUCCCACUGAAUAUUUUAAAAUUGAUUUUUCCUUUUUAAAAUAUACAUAUUGUUAAUUGCAUGCUUCCUAUAAUAUUAUCUAGAUGAUAUCCAAUAUUAUUAAGCAUAGGCAAAUUUCAAACAAUAUAAUGAAAUUCAUAAUUAAUGAAUGACAUGUAUCAUUAUACAUAGAGUGGCACUACCUAUUCUAUAUGACAUGUUAUCAUGGCAUGUUAUCAUCCAAAACAUAACAUAUAGAAAAAUAAUUAAUUAAUCUUAAUUCAUGGCUUUCCUAAUAAUGAAAAAUACAUUAACCCUAAGCCUCAUCUUCAUUGGGCUUCUUGUCAAUGUCCAUCUUCCAUAAGCUUGUCUUUGUUAAUGGACUAGGGGAAAUUGAGCUUUUAAAUUUAUAAUUGGUCCAAUUUUAAUUUUUGAAAGGAAAUAAAUAAAUGAUUAAAAUUUAUUAUUAAAAUAAAAAUUUUGGACCAAAAAUAAAUUUAAUACAUUCAAUUUUAUCUAUGCAUUUUAAUCUAUUAAGCCCAAUUGAAUUGAGCCUAAAACUAGGAUUCAUCAAACCCAAAACUAUUUUUGGACUUAAACGCAAAAAAUUAAAAAUUUUCUGCCCAAAUGAAACAUUAUGGAACCAUAGGGACCUCCAUGAUAAAAACCAUGAAACCCUAAAUUCAUAUUUUUCUUUCUUUCUUCUUCCCUAGCCGCCAUAUCCACAAACGGCCACUGUUCAGGCCAAUCUCACCGGACAGCCGUUAUCAACGUCGAGUUUGCCGUCGUCGAUACGCUGGAAGCAAAACAACCCUGCACACGCUGCUGCUGGCCAGGCUGGCCGCGCAUGCUGCUGGCACGUGUGCUGCUUGCUGCGCGCACUGCCAGCAUGCGCUUGCAGCGUGUGCCGCUCGUUGGCUGUAGCGAGUGCACUGGUCGGUGGUCGAUGUCGAAAUUUCCGGCCUCCGUCGCUUUGAUCUGUCAUCCGUGAUUGAUUUACAAAUUUCCUAGGCCAAUUUUGGCUUACAAAAUUCUAUAACAGUAAAUUAAAUCAAGAGGGAAACAUGGUGAUUAAAAAACCACCCCUCUUAUUACAGAUCCAAACGAAAAAUACAGUAGAAAAUCUAACCAUGAAUUAAGACAAACCAAAACAUGCUUUAUUCAUAUAUUAAACAAAUAAUAUAUAUCUGAAUAAAUUAUGCCACUCUAAUACAUAAAUUUCAAGAAUGAUUUCAUACGAAAUUCUUAUAUAUUAAUAUGAGGAGGCUCUGAUACCAAUUGUUGGAGAAAAAUCAGGUUUUUAAAUUUUUUAUAAAACCUUUUGAAGAUCGCUCUCAUAUAAUAUAUAAGAAUUUGUAAUCUAGAAAUCGUACCUUGAAAAUCUGAUUUGGCUUUUUCCGUUGAAGUGAUUUAGGCUCCUAGAUCAUGAUCCGUCACCACCACUCCUGUUAGAUCACGAUCCGUCACCACCACGCUUGUUAGAACACGAACUGGCACCAAUGAUCUUUCAGGUUAUGACUCAGGUUCGAUCUGCACUUGACGUGUGGGCGCCUUUAUCACUACCAAAGCAACUAGCACGAGAAAAUUUUUCUCUCAACAAUAGAGAGAAAAAUCUUUUUCUCUUAUCUGUAUAAAGUGGCUUUUUUUCUUUUCUUUAGAGAAAAAUAAGCCUUUUAUAUCACCCUUUAGUGAAAACCCUAGGCUCCAAAUAAUCAAAAAACAAAACUCACGUUAUUUGCUUUUUCUAUAGGGGACCCACCUUGUAAAAUAACAUAAGGCCCCUUACACAAAAGCUAAUUAAAUGGAGCCUCCCACUAAAUGAUAAAUUUAGGCUUUUGACCCAAAUAGCUAGUUAUCUUACUUAUUAGUCCAGUAGUGGUGCAGUCAAUUAAAUAAGCUAACCCGGGGAUCAUUUGGGAACAUACAAUAGUGGCUACAAUAAUUAGACCUGUAAUUAAACUAGCCCAAUUAUUUAAUUCCAAAUCUACUCCACUAAAAGAUUGGAACUGACUUCCAUAAUUGUAUGCUCGAAUAAUAAUUCGUCCCAAGCCACAUUGAUUUCUUUACUGCACAAUCCUUUAUACCACUUCGUUAAUCAAAUUGAUAUCUCAACUGUCCAAUCAAUUUAAUAACAUCUUAUUCCUUGAUCCUUACUGGUUUUCUCUAAUGAUCAUUUUCAACAUACUAAAUAUGUUGACACACUCUGGCCAGAGAAUUCUAUCAUCAAGUGCCGAAAACCCAUCAAGAGAUAUGUUGUACAAAUUCUAUAUUAUUAAUCAAUAACUCCAAUACUCAUAAUUGCUCCCACCAAGAUACCGGGUAAUCUUGACCACAAGGAUGUGUCGUGCCCAUUGGUAACUCAAAUGAAAUAACAAUUACAAUCAUGAAAUCAUAAUUAACUCAAGAUUAAGAUUACAGUAAAAUCAACGCCUAUGAGAUUUAAUAAGUCUGACAGUUAUUACAAAGUUAAUUAAAUCUCAUAUGUGAUCCUAUUCAAUGUAGUCGUACUACAUCAAUAAAUUCAUACAUGAUUAAGAUAAAUCAUUCAAUGAAUUUAUUACAGUCUAUACCUAAAUAAAGUGCCCAACUUUAUUUAUCAACUGCGAACUAAAUUUAUUUAAUCAUAAGAUAACUUGUAUUUAUGUCUUCUGUGAAUCCACAUGGUGAUCACAUAAAUACAUAUAAUAUGAUUAAAUGGACUUUAAUAAAAAUAUUAAUGCAAUUAAGAUAUUUGCAUAAAAUACCUCAUUAUUUUAUUAAUCAGAAAAAAUGUUUAUUACAAUUAAAUAAACACAUAUGCUUUUAAAGAGCAUAUUUUCCCAACAACCCUUAUGGACUGAAUCUUUAUUACACCCUUGGCGAGGAACCAAGAGUCAUUUACUACAUGCUUAUUAGGCACUGCCGCAGCAUCCACUGGUACAAGGAAGAGGCACGAUAGCGAAGAUCAAUCCAUCUCAAUCUGCAAAAACGAAAAACAUUGCCUUAGGCAUGCAACCCCAAAAAAAGGAUAGAAAGACUGCUCUAAAUUGAUUCUUUUAUGCUGAUAAACUCCAAUUGCAUUAUAGGAAUUACAAAAAAGGGGUUCUUUCGUAUACUUAGGUGAUGUUUGGUUGGGGGGCGAGAAUGGAGGAGAGAAAAGUAAUUUAAAUUUUAUUUUUAUUUUCAUUGUUUGGUUGCACAAAAUAUAUAAGAAUUUAAUUUCUAUUAAAAUUUAAUAUCCCUUAUAAUGUAGACUUUAAAUUCCACACCAAAAAGUGAAGAAUUUAAAUUCCUCUUAUGUUGAAAACACAAGUUUUCAAAAUUGCCCUUCAACAUUUCAACUUGUUUAAUGUUAUUAAUAAUAAUAAUUAUUUAUAAUUUUAUUUUAUCAAUUUAAUAUUAUAAAUAAUUUUAUAUUAAUCAAAUUCAAUGAAUGAUUUAAAAAAAUUAAUAAAAUAAAUAAACUUAUUUAUUUAUUUAAUAUGAAAAUAUAUAAAUAUAAUUAACUAUCGCCGUGCCUUCACCGGAUUUCUGCCGGAACUUCGCCGGACCAUCGCCGGAUUUUUGCCGGACCACCGCUGACACACCAAAUCUCCGCCGGAACUCGCCGGACUUCCGUUGGAAAAUAGCUGGUCGACGUUGACCGGCGCUGACUUAUGUUGACCUACGUUGACUUAUAUUGACUGGCUUUUAUUUAUAUUAAAUUAUAUUAAAUAGUUUAAGAUAUUAAAUUAUUUUAUAUUUUAUAUUAAAUAUAAAUCAUGAAUUGUUUUAGAACUGUUUGAAAUUAAAAAAGUUUGGUAUUAAUAUUAAAUUAUAUUUUAUUAUUAAUAUAGAUAAUUUAAUAUUUAAGGCAAAGGAUAAAUUUGUCCAAAAAAAAUUAAAAUUCCUUUCCCUAUUAAAUUUUAUGUCAAACCCAAUAAUGAAAUUUAAUUUCACUAUUCUCUUUCACUCCUCUCUUCUCCUUUCCCCUCCAUUCCACUCUUUUCCUCUCCUCCCCUUUCUUAAAACCAAACACCACCUUAUAGCUAUUAUCGUCGCAAGCAUAGCGGAACCCAAGCUCAUGCUCACGAUAGCACAACGUGGCCUACGGUGGUACCACGAUGUCCCUAGAGUCAUAGACAAGCUUCGCAUAUAGACAACCCGUACAGUAUAGCGGAUGCACGUUUAAGCCUCACGAUUCCGUAACACAGCUAGGCUUAAGGCCAACUACUGGCUAUACUGACUACUUAUUAUUGUUCUAGAGCGGGGAAAGUCUUCAAGAAUGCUGCUACCGAAUGAAGUUCAUCUUUCCCCUCUUUCCCUAUAAUAAAGUGCAGGCCCCCGUAGAUAGAUAUCCCAUAUAGCCCCUCCUCACGUCGACUUUUUGCCGUUGAAUCCCGAAGAAAGAAUAAAAUAGACAAAAUUCCUAACAAAAAGAUAGUGAUGGUUCCUCUUUGAGGGCCCGAAGGGCAACGUACCUAAUAGAUAAAGGAUUUUUCAAACGGGAACUCAUCUUGUACCGCAACUUAAACAAUCAUUGUCGGAAGGGCCGGAAACUUGCGUUUUCUUAUGAUAAAUUGUACCAUGAUGAUCUUCUAUUUAUAUUCUCUAGUUUAUCUUUCUUCAAGUGAGAUAGUUGAGCCCGCCCCAAGCGGAACCGCAUGAGUUCACCGGGGUUGAGCACGGUCCGCCAAAAUCGGCAUAGGUUAGGUGCUAUUGAUGGAACAUGGUAAGCCUAUCUUUGUUCUCUAUAUGGAAGUGUUGCGGGAUUAAAGGAGUUGGAAGAUGAGCAAGAGUAUUCUCAAUCGACACUCCUAAAAAAGAUAAUAGGUUCUAUGAUAAGGAAUAGGAACAACAAAAGCAAGUCUUUUGAGUAUAAUCCUGGUAUCUUUCUACAAUCGUCUUUGUGGCGUAGGCCGAUCAAUCCCCGAAAUAAGAUCACUUAAAGGAAAUGAGUGGAAAUAAGACAGGUCUAUAUUCCUAUAGAAAGAAAAGCCCUUUCCCUCCCUGCACGAGUGAGUUGCCAAGUGCCUCCCAAGAGGGCAGUCUACCACAAGAUCUUACUUAUGAAUGUCAAGGAAGAAAAAGAAAGACAGGUAGGUUUGUAAACUAAAGCCAGAAGCCCGGGAAGAGGUGUUCUCCAUUAGUACAAGUAAGCGGCUGAGUUAGCAAAGCCUACCCUACUAAUGUAUUGUAUAGUAGCGCCUUUUCCUUUUUGAAUAUAACUAAGGCUAGCUCACUGGUAGUAGAAGGAAGCAGAGAUUCAGGCAGUUAGGCAUCAGUUUGAGUUCGAGAUCGAGACCCCAUAGAUAAGGUAGGUGUUAAUAGAUCAGUUCGGUCUCUGAGGCCACCGAGUAAUCAUAGGUAAGUAGCAGCUAUCUCCGACCGAGCAAGUGUAGAGGAAGAAAAGACAUAAUUAAAAAAAUUGUGUAAAAUAAAUGAAUUUAUCCAGUUAAGGCAUGCUUGAUUGCGCAUUCCUUUACGCAUUCCGCUGACCUUUCCAUUACCAUGGGAAAGCCUCACUCUCGGUGAAAUGGAUAACAAACUGAAUAAGCGAUCAUCGUCCGGUGGUCGGUAGCUCUACUAAGCGAAUAACCGCUCGCUGCUUUUUCUUCGCGAAUAACAUGUGCGGGUAGCCUAGGAAAAGAGAAGCAAGCUACCUUCGCCUACCUCCCCGCCGCUCAUGACAAGCAAGCAGCAUACUAGGUUUCAUUAUUAUAUAGGACUUCUUUUGUGCUACCACGCCUCUCUUGACCUCUGCUUGCAUCUCGAGAAAGUAUAAGGGUCACCGAAAGUGAGGGAAGAGAUAUCCAAUUUGAUAUCUUAUGAUAUAUUGAGGAUGCUGCAAUAGUUUGGUUUCACCUCUAGAUGGUGUGAGUGAAUCAGGGCUUCCAAAACCUUUCUUUUUUCGGUAUGCCGCUCCGCGAGUAAGGAGUGCCACGCACGAGCGGAGCGAAAACAAAGCCGGUCAAAGAUUCCAUUGGAAAGGUAGAUGACAUUUCUGCUAUUUCGGUAAUGCUUGAGCAGGGGCAGCCCAGUCUUAGUCUAACUAAGUAUUCUAUCCAUACUAUGACACUGCGCAAAAGAACCAGGCAUAGUGUGAAACAUGAUAAUACAAAUAGGGGCGUGCCACAUUCUUGGUUUAAGUAUACUAGAACAUAUUCCAUUUUGUUGACGGUGAAUGCCUGUCGAGCCACAGGCGGAAAAAUAAUAAAAAAGUUUCUAAAAAUAAAAAUACUAAAAAAUAAUUGAUAAGGGGGGUUGAGCAUCCUUUGUAGAGCACUUUGCUGGCGCUACACUAUCACGUUACAACUAGCAUCCCCUUUUUGCUAUUUCUAUCUAUUAUUAGUUGGGGCUUUUCCCAAACUAAUAGCAAGAGAGGGAGUGAAAGAGGCUGGAAAGUACGAAGCAGGUUCUAUGCAAUUGACUCGACUGAAAGGAAGAUUUUUUACUUAGGCCCAGGAGAGGAGGGCUCUUUGGGACUGGGGGAGACGAGUGGAUUAUAGAGCUAGGAGUGGAUCGAGGGUUUGUCCAUUGGGAUUGGUUUGAUAUGGUUUGCGUGUUACUGGUUGCCGGAAGAGUUAAUAUCUCCAUUAACUAAACCCUUUCUUACCCUAUGAUAGAUUCAUGAAAUGAGCAAGCAUCUGAUAUAUUUUACACCUUUUCAUAACGCCUAUGUGACUUGCCAAAGCUGUCGCUCCGUAUUUCUUGCUUAAAGCACCGCAACUUAUACGCUUUAAAGCUGCGCUUUAAACUUAACGGCAUUUGAGCAUCCAUUUUCUUACUCUUUGUCGUAGAGGCUCUCUAACCGGAGAGAGGCUUGCUAUCGUAACCUUUACAAGCCAUGAUCUAAAAGUGAUUGCCCCCCAGGCGAGAAAGACUAAUCUUAGAAUUCCGCUUGAAAACGAGUCCUGUCCUUGCUUUUCUAAAAAGUUACUAUCCCCAACAGGAUUGGAACUCUAGUUGUUCAAGUUCCGUUCACCUCCUUUAACUUUCAAUUAGUGAAAUUCUAUUUAUUUCUUUCUUAGGGAAUUGUGGUCGACCCCGACUAGAUGACCUGGGCCUGAAGAAUGACAAGCUUUCGCAAUGAAAUCUUUCUCCAGAUAAUGCCUUGGUUACAUAAAUAAUCUACUCCGAUACACCUACCCGUGGUAUAGGUGUGUUCAAACACACCACGCUAUUUUUUUCCUUUUGAGAGGGUACUCCGAGUAGUGGGUACCUCGUAGGACCUCAACCCGCCUACUUGGGUCUUGUAUGGAUAUGCAGGAAGAUCUUUAGCUAACCCAUACCUUAUCUAAAUACCCAGGUUCCGUGAUAUCAUAUCCCAAUUCUGAUUCUUUUGCCAUCACCUUCUAUUACUUCCUUGGUCGAGCAUCUAUCAACACCUGACGAUGAGGAGAGUGAUCAAUUCACCAUGUACCUGAUUCAAUACAACUAUCUAGCCCUAUUAUCGAAGCACUUCUUUAUAUACGUCGCCAUUUGACGAUCUGUCUUUAGUAGGUCGUCUAUUCUUUCUUACCGAGAAUCGAGCGCGAGGCUUGAAGACCCUACCGCAUUCCGGCCCCGGGGCCCUCAAUUGGUUCUUUCUCUCUUCUCUUUUACCAACGAGUGGUGAGUUACAUAUGUACCUUUAGUAGUCUGUUAUCUCAUACGCUACCCUAACUACCAUAUGUACUUUUCUUUUGCUAUCUAAUCAACCCAUUGAUUCAGUCUUGGAAGGUGGUGCGUACCAAUGGCGUUUGUUAAGUCUUUGAUGAAGUGGGUUUCUUGCCUGACGAAGCCCUUCAAACUAUACUUGCACCUUAGUAGCCAUUAAUAGCAAACCCAACCUGAUGGAUCCUUGCGCUUUAUGAAAGUACGCUGUACUGGCCUUCCUUCCUCUACCUGUCAGGGAGACUUAUUUUCUUUAUUUUUAAGGCUUCUCAGACUCUUGUGGAUUCGCCUCUUUCUUCCCUCGCUUGUGACCAGCUUCUCUUGUUGUUGUUCCUAGAAAAAAAGUAGAAGUCAUGUGACAAGAAGUACUUUUUCUCAGCGCGUUCGUUGGAGUCGUGGAAGCGAAGCAAGGCUCGUUAUAGAGGAAAUAUGGAAUCUUCUAGAAAAACGUGGAACCCAUGCCCCUUUUCGCUUGAAAGAGCUUUGAUCACGACUGGUUGUAAACAAACUACUGUCUCGCCUCUACUUUCUAUCGAGCUCCGCUCUCCCCGCCCCAUUCAUGGCUUGUUGUUCCCCAAACUCUUUCUGGCAGAACCCUUCGAAUUUUUAGAGAAAAACCACGCUAAAUGUUUUUGAGAUUUUGAAACUUAUUGCACCUAACCUUUGGGCAUAUCAAAACAAGAAAAGGCACUACCUGCGGAAGAGAAAGAGAGAGGAAAAAAAAUACGCAUGUCAGUCUAUUCUACAUCUAUAUUGUUCAAGCAAAAAUCAAAAUAGGAUGUCUAUAUGAUGAUUUUCUAAAUAAAAAAGAAAUAGUGAGUGAGAAAGAAGAUGUGAGUCUAAAAGGCAACAAUCAAAUGCCCCUUUAUUAGUAAGGUUGCUUGCUUGUUACACAAGUCGUAUUUGGCUCGUCUCCUUCCGUGAUACGCACCUGGUAGUAGUAGCAGCCCGACCAUAAAUCCAACUUCGAGAAGUAAAAGAAAAUCAAGACAGAUGCCAAGAGAAACUAUUAGACUUGUUUAUUGCGUUGCGAAGAGAGAUCUACCGUUUAUCCACCAAUCUGCCUUGCUCUUUAUGAGCUGAGCUAUUCCGUAUGAAAAAAAAGAAUCCAAUCAUCUACCUAAGGCGCUUCUAGAUCCUUCUUUGAUUCGCGAGAACUCGCUCAGCCUAACCAAAGCAUCAUAACAACAUCCAAAGGUUGACAAAGUCAACGCUACUAAGGACCAGGGUGAGCGGAAUUCAGUAGAGGCUCCUCCUUUCGCCUGAUCCACUAAUCAAUGUCCUCGCAGAUGGACUGAGCAUCAAACGCUUGGGGGAGGAAAGUGAACAAGAAGCAAAAAUUCUAUUAAUUAGAUUCUGCUAUCAAGAGAAGGAAUAC